RNAcentral lists this long non-coding RNA (45066 nucleotides) under Triticum aestivum (bread wheat). Its description in RNAcentral is "long non-coding RNA (TAES_LNC018600)". Lineage: Eukaryota; Viridiplantae; Streptophyta; Magnoliopsida; Poales; Poaceae. The record is from RNAcentral.
UAGUUUUUUUAGUUUAGUCCCUAGUUUUCAAACACUCACAACUUUUCAACCGUUUGUCCAAAUUCAAUGAAACAAACGCCAAAUUCUUCAUCAUGAUCUCAUCUAUCCAGAGAACCAAACUAAAAAUAUUUUUGAAAAUGUUAAAAUUUGGUUUCAAACAGAUUUGAAUUCAAACUUGUUUCAGUUAUAACUUUAGUUUUAUAACUCCGAAUUAAUUGAUUCUUUUUGCCAAUUGAAGCUCUUGACAUGUACUUUAUGUUAAGAUCAAAAUCACAUAAUUUUGAGACUGUUAAAAAUAUAUUUCUGUCUGGAAGCUUUAUUUAAUGGUUUUGAUGUUUUCUGAAGUAUUUUCUUUGUUCUUUUGGAUCUUUGAGUGAUUGCUUAUGUGUGCCAAUAAUUGCUUGCUUACGAUAGAUUGAUCGGAGUGUGACGAGUAGAACUACCAGAAUUUAUGAGUUUGAAGAAUCGUCAUCAACAGUACAAGGCAAGUUCACACCUUGGUCAUACUUUCUAUACCCAGUUUUUAUGAUGCAUUAGUUCACCCUGACAAAUUUGCAUGAGUAGGAUUGGGAAUUGGGCUUUGCUAUGUAGUUCAUGAGGUAGGUACCUAAGAUCCUUGAAACACCCCGGGAUUAUUUCGUGAUGUCAUAUAUUGCUUAGCCAUGCUCGUAGACGGGGAUUGGUAUGCGAGAUUCAUGCAUUACUGUAGGAUGCUACUAAUGCGACACUAUGAUCAGAGACCCUUCGAGAAACUGUGUGCGAUGCAAUAAUCGCAAACGGUGCUGUAUGGAAACCGUCAGAAAUGCGUAAAACGUUUGUGAUGACUGAUGCAUCAAACACGGUUCAGAUUUUAGUUGCGUGUGCGAUGAAGGGCAUACGCUUCAGUUCAAUUAACUUUUUGCGAUGAGGAGGAACAAAAGAAACGGGCAGCCAGAUGAAGGCGUGUGCGAUACACAGCAUACGUUUCACUCGGAUGAACUGUUUGUGAUUAGGCAACACAAAAGAAAUGGUCAGCCAGAUCAAGGCGUGUGCGAUAUACGGCAUGCGGUUCACUCGGAUGAACUGUUUGUGAUUUGGAAACACAAAAUAAACGGUCAGCCAGAUCAAGGUGUGUGUGAUUGAGGGCAUACGCUUCAGAAUGAUUAACUGUUUGCGAUUAGGCAAUAGAACAGAAAUGGGUAAGUCAGAUCAAAGUGUCUGCGAUUGAUGGCAUACACUUCACAUUGAUGAACUGUUUGCGAUUAGCCACAACAAACUGAAAUAGUUAUAUAGAUCAACGUGUGUGCGCUAGACGGGCACACCCAUUCUAAUUAAAAGAAGCAUGCGCGAUGGUAAUAACGAGCACGCACGGUUGUUGGAACAAGACGUGUGCUGGCAUUGCCUAUUGCGGUGCACCCUAUAGUGCAAAUGCCACGUACGCGGCCGAGAAGGCGUACGUGCCCAUGUUACGCCUUUCGGGAAUAGUGUCGCACUUAUGACCGUCAGUAAAGUUUGAGCAUGCGUCCCGUCACAUUUUUUUAGAAGAACAGGGGGGCCGCGUCCCGUCACAUUCCAAAUUGCAAACCUGUUCACACCGAUCAAAACCUAAACGGUUUACCACUUAGGAGCGUAUUACUACGCGGUUAUAAAUACUACUACUCCAAGAUGACUGCACAUUCCUCCUCAACUCCUCAUCCACAAAAAAGUCAAAAACAAACAAGUCAUUCAUCAUCGUUCCCUUGCAUCCGCCAUGGCCAGCGUGAGUUCUGGGUCGAGAGAUUGCCACCAGGGAUAGGCGAGCCUGGAAGCGGGAGCACGAGAGAUGUCCCUCCUCGCCGCGAUAGUAGCCAACAUGUCCCACCGCACGGCCGUAGCAACAGAGAGGUCCUGCCGCGCUGUCGAAGCAGCACGGAGGACCCACGGCGUCGUCGAUGCAGCAGACUGGUCCUGCCGCGCCGCGGAAGUAGAAGAGAUGUCCCGCCGCGCCGCGAAUGCAGCAGAGAUGUCCUCCCGCGCUGCGGCGGCCUGGGAAAAUGCCUCGCGGGAAGGCGAGGACUCUUACAAGCGCCUGCGUGCCCUUGUCCUUAUGCAGAUGGAUCAGAUCUCCAGGUGGGAGAGGUUGCGGGAUGACCUGAAAGCCUCGUUUGAACAGUCUAUCGACGUCAUCCGGCAACUAAAUGAGAGCAAUGCGGAGCUCCGGGCCGAGCGCGACCUGCUGAGGGCGAAGAUCGUCGGAAGUGCGGAGCGGCAGGAGCAGACAACUGCCUUGUUGAAGAGGACCGGCGUCAUCAUCGAGAAACUUAUAGACCAGAAUAACAAGCUGCGCAUCGGGCGCAGAAGGCUGGUGGAGGAAUCCGUGGAUGCUCUCAAGCAACAUCUUGAGGACAAGAAAGAGCUCGUCCCAGCUCACUGCGGAGACUAGUUCCAGCGGCCUACAGUAACGCAUCAAGAAAGUAGAGAUCAGCGAGCCAGAUCGUUGUCUUCCUUUUUCUUUUGCCCUUGUGUAUUUCGGGAGUCUCUGUUGCACUGCAACCAUUUGAUUAAUGCAUUUAAAAAUUUCACCAAAAUUUGGUCAUGUCAUGUGGUGUUUCCCCGUCACUUCUAUGCAAAAACAUCUUUUGGUUAUUGGAGAUUUUGAGCCCUACAUCAACUUUUCAGAUCUGGUCCAGUAGGUAUUUUUGCACUACAACCCAGUUAAAUAUUCCUUUAAAAAUUCUUCCAAGUGUUUGGGGAUGUCAGUAGACGCAUAUAAUUCAACUUUAUACUAAAACCCAGUGAUGUUCUUUGAAAAAUUUGAGUGAAUCAACCUCUUUUUCAUCCUGGUCCAGUUUUGUGUUUUCUACUGCAACCCUAUUUUAUUUUGCUCUAGUACCCCUGAGCUUUUUCCUACCUAUAGCCCUCCCUACAAAACCCUUAAGUCCAGGAGAGUGGACCCAUUGGAGGAUUUUAAGUGCAUGCAAUGAGACCUUUUUCUUUCUGUCCAAAACUGAAGUUUUGCAAAACUUGCACUCGCAAGUUUCUGGUUUUGCCCAAAUGAUCUUGCCAUCAUCACCUACAUCCAGGGAGACCCUGACCUGGAGUUUUUGGCCACCCCAAUAGUUGCCUAGAUGCACCUAGCAUUCUGUCGAACACUUGGUGUGCACAGUCAGUUUUGACAUGGAUUUUAGUUUGCACUGUGUACUUGAUCCUCUGACCCAGCAACCUUGUCCACGAAGAUCCUAGCUAUCCCUAUCCCUGUCCUAUUAUUUGCCAGCCUCCCUCUAGCACUCUAGGCUGCCCUGGCAUUUCGUCGAGCACGUCCCGUGCGUGCUCUGGGUGCGCCCAGAGCGCAUGUUUUACACGCGCGCGCACCGAGCCGCCGCGUCGCACUGCCGCCCUCGCCGCGUCCCGCCCCUGGCCCUUGCUCACCUGCAGAGCCACGCACUACCCUCGCCCACUCUCCAAGCCACCCCUGGCGCCCAACAGCGCCGCCGUCAGAGCCUUUGGCGGCACGCCGACGUCGGCAGUGAGCUCCUGCCACGGACGGCGCCGCCCAAGCCACACCAACGCGCCAGCUGCCCCCUGGAGCAGCUCGAGCUUAUCCUGGAACCCGUCGGCACGCGCUCGUCGCCCCCACGUCGCCCUGCAGCUACAGCACGGCGGUCGCCGGCAUCCUUAUCCACGGCCGCCGCGGGACCAGCCUCGAACACCUAUAAAAGGAGGCCCUGAGCCCCUCCGAGCACUCAGGCGAUCUCAGGCCUCCCCCCUAGAGCUCCCCUAGCCGUGGAUUGACCGGAAGAGGCCAUCUCCCCCACCUCCGGCCGGUUCGGCCGCCGCUGUCUUCCGGUGAUGUUCGUCGCAACCAGACAAUUCCCCGCCCAUCCAACACCACCACCCGCUUCCCCUUGUUCUUGCGGAGCUGCCAAGCGCCUCAGCUUUGAUCGAGAGCCACCACAGCCCAAACCCCCAAUCAUGCCCGAAGCCCCCUCCGCCGAGGAGCUCUCCGCCGGUGACUCCUUCCACCGCCGUCGACCCAACGACCACCGGGAGGACCGCCCCGGUCUUGCGGAUCCAUCCCCGCCCUCAGGACCCCGCGGGGAGGCGCCAUUCGUCGACGGUGAUCGCCGGAGUCCCGCUCCCGUUCGGGCAGAGAAGAGGAGGGAGAGGGGGGAAUAGUCAAACCUGACCAGUGGGCCCCCUGGACCCACUGUCAGUGACCCAGCCCCGCGACUGCAUGUUGAAGUGGAAGCGUAUAUCCCCGAAGUAUGUGUCCACUACCCCGAAAGCGUAUUCUGUAUCAAAACGUUUUCUUUUUCUAUUUUAUUUUAAAACAGAACUUUGCCCAAACUUUGACUGGCUAUAUCUUUAAAAAUAAAACUCCAAAUGAGUUGAUUUUUUUUCCUACCUCUCUCAAAUUUCAUCUAGUUUAUUUUAAGAUUUAUUUCAAAAAUAUUUGGGACAACUUUUUGUACUGUUUUUCAAAUAUUUGUUAUUUGAAUAUUUUUCAAAAUAGGAAAUGGAGAGAGAAGAAAGCUUUCAAAAAGUGCACCCCCCUUGCAUACGCUUGAAGGCAAGCAUUCUGAACUCUGGCAUAAUAUUUUCGUGAGGUGUUUGAUACGGUUACAACACCACUUGGCUUGGAGCAUACGUUAUUUUUUUGGUAAUGAUAAAGUCACACACAUGAGUGCAUAUUGAAGAUGCUUUACUGUUAAGAAUGGAUAUGCUGGUGAUAAUGAUCAUCCUCGCGAGCUUUUCAUGCAUACCGGCAGGAAGCCGGGAAAAGUCGUGGUCUUGGGUAGACACGAGCUUGUCCCUAGUCCCUCGUCGGGACGAGUGUGUCCGGUAUGGCAUGAUGAGGUUUGACGAGCGGUGUUUCUGUCUGUCAAUGGGAAUAUUUUUGUCAUGCUAAUCAUUCGGAGAAUACAUGGACCUCCUGAGUCGGCCGUAGGUCGAGUCUUGAUUAGUAACUUCCCCUACUUGUUUUGUACUACCACUUGUCCCUGCCGCAGGUAGGGUACGGUUCAGUAAGUUGUCAACCCCUUACCAAGGCACACACCGUACAGAGAGGCCAUGGUGGAAGAUACCGGAUGCAUCCGGUAGGCAUGCCACCUGGUCCGGGGGCAUGGGUGUUUCCGGUUGGGACCGAGAGGGGGGCACCCCUUAGAGCGCGCGGUAUAAAUUUGAUCCCAUGCUACUUCGAGGUUGUAGCCUCUCCACUUAGAGUUUUGCUUGACAGGUGUCGUGGGUGAUUCCAGACACCGGUAAGUUAAGCUGGUGUGUGCAGGUCAGGCGUGUUUUCAAUUAAAAGGCCGUAGGCGGAAUUUGUCCCGAUGGACUAAAUAAAUCCGUUACUCGUGGGUAAAGAGUACACCCUCUGCAGAGGUUAUACCUAUUCGGAUAGCCAUGUUCAUGGGUAAGGACCUCGGUCUGAGAUGGGUCUAGUGACGGUCUUCGGAUGGAGAAACGGCUAAACUAGAAAUUGUUUAUGACCUGUGACAUAUGAGGAUUAUGUUUAUUAUUAUUAUGGACUAACCAGUUACAUUAUUUGAUUUAUUGAGUAUCCCUGGGACGGUUCUACCUCCUGGAUAUUCACUGUGAUUAUUCUUAUAUAAGCCCUUUAUGUGGCUUCGCUCAGACGCCCGACUGCGGCAUGUUUGUCAUUUCUUUAUUAUUUAUAAGCCCUUUAUGUGGCGUCGCUCAGACGCCCGACUGCGGCAUGGUUGUCAUUUAUUUAUUAUUCAUAAGCCCUUUAUGUGGUGUCGCUCAGACGCCCGACUGAGGCAUGACUUAUCUUAUUAUCCUUUUUGAGGCGUCGCUUCAGACACUCGAUCAGUGCAGUCUAUUUUCUACUUCCGUAUUGUAUAUUCAUAUUUUACCUGCUUGCGAGCAUCAUGGAUUUCAUUUAUUUCGUGACAGCCGUUGUGGUCAUAGAAUUUUUCAGAGCACGAUUAUCCCUUGUUAUAUUAUACCCGUGUUCAUAAUGUUUGCGAGUACAUUCAAACGUACUCACUGGCUUGUCCCUGGCUAUUGUCUUGGCCAGAUUCCUUGCAUGGAGAAGAGCGUUACGACGACAGCCCCGGAACCCAUGUGAAGGUGAUAGCAGCCUCGCGAAGAUAGGAGUUAUCCUGGUCAGCAGUUCUUGUGGGAAAUGGAUGUCCCAUAGACGCAGAUGUACCGUAGACCGCUUCCGCCAUCAACCACUAGAAACCAAGUGUUGUACACAUAGGCCACAAUGGUCUUGUACUGUAUAUUUUGUACUUUGCUUGGAAUUCUUGUAUCAAGUUGGUGCCUCAUCAGCUAAUAGUAAUCCUGGGGCUGGUGAGCACAAAGGCCGCUUUCUGGGAAAUUAAUAUCCCAAAAAUCCGGUCCUGACAGGAGGCGAAUUAGAUUCCUAUUUAUUCUUGAGGACCAGGCUUUCCUGGUACUCGUGCAAUUUAUCUAGAGGACCAGGCUUGGUCAUUAACCAAGAUAAAAAUCCUGGUACUCAUGCUUAAUGGCUAUAUGCAUCCUUAGUUGGUGCAGAGGUCGGGGAAGUAAAAUCCUCCCCCUUUUUGAAGAGGAACAAACCAAUCAAUGUACCCCCCCCCCCGCGUCGCUCUCACCUAGGUCGACUCGGGGGCGCCUCCCUAACCCUAGCGCGCUGCCGGCCAAUCGCCCCAGCCCCGCGCCGCCGCCGGAGGAAGCCGCCGGGCGAAGCUCGUGAGGCUGACGGGGGCGGGGGGCGACUCCGCGCGGCUCCUGUUGGGACGGGGGCGGCGGAUCUCGGUGGGAACCGGCGGUGGCCCGGGCAUGCGCGGCCCAUGGCGUCCGGCGGCGUGGUGGCGUUUCUCGGCGGGGGGUUGUAGGUGAUGGCGGAGGGGUCGGCCAUUCCCGCUAGGUGAUGUACUGCUGCCUGCGAUGGCGCAUGGCGACCUGCACGGCAGUACUCUCCGUUCCUUGGACGAGCGCGUCCUUGGGAGCAGGAGGGGGUCGGCCUGACGAGCUCCGGUAGGCAUGGCGUGCUCGUGGCAGCGGCAAUCCGGCGCUCCGGGUGGUGUCUUCUUCGAGCGGCGCGAGGUGGACAGCAGGCAUGUGGUGGCGGUGCUGAUCUGCAAUGGAUCUGGCAAGGCACCACGGCCCGAUGCUAGGCGAUCCAUGCACGCGAUGCUUGAUGGAGGCUCUUCGAACAGAUCUGGGUGAAAGCCUGCCUUUGGCUAGCUGCCAAGGCCGGCGGUGACGGCGCUGUUAUGCGGCGUUCCCUUCUUGAAGGCAUCACCGAGGAGAAGUUCAAGGCCACUAUCUGCUAUCUCCGGGGGAAACCCUAGAUCAGUAGAUCGGAUGACGGCGGCGCUAUAUUGUGUCAUUUCCUCUUGGGGGCGUCAAUCUUGGAGGUGUUCACGGGAUCGAGGGACCAGUGGGCGGCUUCUUUGGUGGAGCGGUGCUUCAUCUUAAACAUUGAUGGCGUCAGGUCUCGGCGGUGUGGUGCAGUGGAGACUUGGUGCCCGAUGCGCGGAGAUGGACUCGCGCAGGAGGAGGUAGCUGUCUGGCGUCAUGGUGGCGUUGAUGGCAGAGUGGCCUGACAAGGUAGAAGCUUCAAUAUCUGCUCUGAAGACGGACCUGUGGAAGAUGGCGGCGACGACACAUGUGAAUGCGUCAGACCGGUCUGUGCCCCAGACCCGGUAUGUGGCUUGGCUGGGGCUUCCGGCUUUUGAUGAUAGGCUUAGGUGAGUGGUUUGGGUAUUUGGCCCAGCUAGCACCACUUUCAUCGUUUGGAUAGGAGUAGUGGCAUAUGUUCCCAAGAUGGCGGAUUCAGGCAUAUUGUUGUAAUACUUUGUAAGGUUCUCGAGAAUAAUCAAUAAAGUGGCCGCAUGCAUCCCCCAGAUGCACAGGCCGGGGGUCAUCCUCCUUUUCUAAAAAAAUGUAUGUCAUUUCGCACACGGAGGUGACACGUUCCCUCUCGGAACUAGGAGCCUUCUUGAGGGAAGCUCCGGUUUGCAAGAAGCUUACACCAAAGAUUGUCCCAAUUUGGCCAAAAAAAUUACUGCAGCAUGUUGGUGCCAUGUCAUGACACCAUGCCAAGUUUCAUGAUUUUCAAUUGUGUUUUGGAUUUACAGGAAUUGAAAAACCAAGUUUCUCAAUCAUUCCGGCCGAGCCACGACACCCAGAUGUUUGAAUUUUAUUCCCAUUUCUUGCAUGGGACCUAUAAUUUCACCCAAAGACACACAUGUGAUUUUUCAGCAAACUUUGGUGCAUUGGAGCAUGUGCUUGUAGUUCAAAUUUGAAUUAUGCACAUUAAAUGCCUAGAAACUCAAUUAAUGCAUAAAAUGCCAAACGAACCUGGAAUAAUUCCAAAUUUAAACGCGACACUCAUAUACUAGUUGCAUGUUCACUGUACGUAAAUGUUCUAGCAAUUCAAACACCAUCCUUUCCCUCCGUAACACCAUUUUGUCUUUCAAAACAUAAUGAAAAAAUCAGGUAUACCACAAACAGUUUACUAGAAAGAAUCGUGUGGGAUGCGAUAUAAAAUAUCUUGGCGCACCGUCCUGUCUGGCUUACGCAGGAAGCUUCAUCGUCUAUAGUCCACCGCCCCCGCUUGAACCACACUUGCGCGCCAGUUUCUCGCGUCACCAAGCGGAAAAUUUUUGCCACCACGGAAAUAUCUAUCUCCCCGCCCCCUCCCUCCUACCAAAAGCCACAUUUCCACUGUUCCUCCUUGCUUUCCAAGUUCAGACCUUCACUGCUGCUUACUGGCAGCUCAGCCUCCUCGCCGGCGACCCUUCUUCUUGCAGCGCCGCCUGCUCGCUGGCGACCCUUCUUCUUGCAUCGCCGCCUCCUCGCCGGCGACCCUUCUUCUUGCUGUGUGGCCUCCUCGCCGCCGAUCCUUCUUCUUGCUGCGCGGCCUCGUUGACAAGGUCAGGUAAUCCACACCCCACCCACACCAACCUCCUCCUUCCCCGUCCCACAUGCCCCGACUGACGGAGCGAUACCUUCCACCAAAAUCACUGCCCCCUCCUCCAAUUAAGUGCCGCCCACAGCCAUUUCACACGGAGUAUAACGUGGAGCUGAGUAGCAUGCAGCCGCAUGCGUGAACGAGGUCGCUAUGGCUGACAUGCGUGUGGACCGCCAGAUCUUGGAGGAGCACCUCGUCUUCGAGGCCACUGUCGACACUGCCGCGCGGUUGUCUACUUUAAAAUACAGUUCGUGAUGUUUUCUCGAGGCCACGACCAGUGCCUUCUAGUGAUUUUUGUCCUCUGUAAUGUUAAUAUGCAAUAUGAUGUUCAGUUAACAGUUUGGUCCUCUGAAAUGUAAUGUUCAAUUAACACUUUGGUCCAACAAUUGCUACAUUUCGUAGUACUAUUCUCAAGCAUUCUUUGUUUUGUGAACUGUCUUAUCUUCUAGUACAUGUUUCUAUUCUGCAAUGUCAUGCUCAGUUAACUAUUUUGGUUCAUUUGGUCUGCUGUCCAUUUAACUGUUUGGUUCAGUUCUGCAAUUUGAUUUUCAUUUGCUGUGGGUACAACUUUGUAUUUUUAUGCAUGUGACACCAAUCGAAUUUGGCUAUACUCAAUACAUAUUCUACUGAUAGUAUGGCAACUCUCAGUUAACCUGAUCAAGAUUUUCCUUAUGUGUGUUGCAGGGAAACAAUGGCAGACACUGCAGUUUACCAUCGAGGUUUGUUCAAGCAGGGUCCUUUGGCUAAUAGCACAUUAUUGUGCAGUUGCAGGAAUCAUUCUAAUAUUUAGGUUUCUUACAAUUUGGUCACACACGGCUUCCGGCAGUGAACUGUUUGCGUUAGGCCACCUUGCACAAACGUUUCCACAUAAAGAACUGUGUGGGAUGUACAUACCUACGGAAAUGAUUUUCUGGGAUUCACCGUGUGGGAUGUACAUACCUACGGAAAUGAUUUCCGGGAUUCACCGUGUGGGAUGUACAUACCUACGGGAAUAUUUUCUGGGAUUCACCGUGUGGGAUGUACAUACCUACGGAAAUGAUUUCUGGGAUUCAUCUUGUGGGAUGUACAUACCUAUAGAAAUGAUUUCUGGGAUUCACCGUGUGGGAUGUACAUACCUACGGAAAUGAUUGGGUUUCCAUGCCUCGCACGAUCGCACACGGCCCUAGCCUGGGUCCCACGAGGGCCUAUCCCCAAUGAUUUUUGGGUCGUGUGGGAGGGACCCCCCUAUCGCCCGCACUCACUUGGCGACGGUUCCAAAUGCAGUCGCGAAAAGGGGUUUUAAACCGUUUGUUUAGGACGUCGUUGUACCGGUGAUGCAAGUUGCAAGAGAUAAUAAUUAAGGGUAACUUAAGGUGGCAACAUCAACACACAUCUGGGUGGAAUGGUUGGGGCACCAUGAAGAAACCAAUGGCUUGCCCAGGCACCUGGAGAAACCAGUGCUUGCCCAAGGGAAUCCCGGAGUACCCGUGUGAUUACCCUAUGGAAUGCCACCCAGGCUCAAAGGGAUCAUAUGAUAUUUCAUGCCUAGAAACUUCCGUGUGCAGUCACAAGCCAUUAUGGGCUCUGGCGUAGUUGAGUAAGUUGUGGGAAACCUUUCCAUGAUAGGCUAGCAGAUGUAGGGGAAUUGUAGGUGUACCGGCCUAUCUAUCGGUUAUGGGGACCUCUUCGGAAAGACUAUGUCUCACUCAUCCGGUUCUCAAACAUCAGGCAGUGCGAGGAAUUCAACGGAGGAGAUCGAGUCUUGUGGGGAACAGUGCGCAAAUCUCUGCAGGGUGUACAAACUAAUCAAGAUUAGCCGUGUCCCCGGUUAUGGACAACUUGAGUAUCUAGAAGUGAAUUAUUGGUUGAUCUCAUCACUCUAUUUAAUAAAAUUGUUGGGUUAUUAAUGAUUUGGUAAUUUUGGGAUUGAGUUGGAGGAACCUUCUCAAUAAUGGCAUAAACUUGGUAGUAAAAUAAAAUUUAUUCCUUUGUUGUAGGGAAAAAUAGCUUUAUGCAAAAUUAAACUUAGAGCCUCCACCAGCCAAAUAUGCAUAUAGAGAUAGACAUUUCUCAUUUUUAUUCUAUGGUGUGAAAUUGCCAGUACAUUCAAUGUACUGACCUACAUGGCUGCAACGUCACAUGUUGCAGGAAUCAUACAACGAGUAAGUGAUACGUUAGGGUUACGAUGUCUACACUCAACUUUGCCGUUGGUGUUGUUGGGACUCCACAACUUUGUUGCUACUUCUGCUAUACCGACUGAGGUAAUAGUAUUUAUGUUACUUUUUACAUGUAUUGAACUCUGUUAUAAAUCCUCGAGUACUCUGUGUGUCAGCAUACCGAUCCAGGGAUGACACUUAAGCAUAGAGAUUUUAUCCAUUUGGGUCGGGUCGCUACACUACUUGAACAAAAUGAAAGAUAUCAUCGAUAAAUAAAAGCAUGUUUUGCUUAUUAACAUCUCGGAAAUAUUCCGCCAUAGUUAGGGCAGUUAAACCAACUCACAUACAAGCUCCCAGUGGUUCAUUCAAUUUGCCAUAGACUAGAGCUAUCUUUGAUUCCUCAAUAUUUUUUGCAAUACUCCGGAUUCCUUCAUUUCCAUAUAAAGAUCAUUUCCUUCACGAGUCUGUUCCCCUACUCCACCAAAUACGGAUACGCCCCCUUGAGCUUUAGCAAUGUUAUUGAUUAAUUCCAUGAUCAGUACUGUUUUACCUACUCCAGCCCCCCCCCAAAUAGUCCUAUUUUUCCUCCACGUCGAUAAGGAGCUAAAAGAUCGACGACCUUAAUACCUGUUUCAAAGAUGGAUAAUUUCAUAUCUAACUCGAUAAAGGCAGGCGCAGAUCUAUGAAUAGGGAACAUUGCACUACUAUCUAUAGGACCCAAAUUGUCAACAGGCUCCCCAAGAACAUUGAAAAUUCGUCCGAGCGUAGCUCCACCGACCGGAACACUGAGAGGAGCUCCCAUGUCAAUCACUUCCAUUCCUCUCAUCAACUCGUUCGUAGCACUCAUAGCUACAGCUCUAACUCGAUUAUUUCCUAAUAAUAGUUGUACCUCACAAGUCACAUUAAUUUUCUUAUCAGCAAUGUCUCUACUCUGGACUACCAAAGCGUUAUAAAUAUAAGGUAACUUAUCUGGGGGAAAAGUGACAUCCAGCAUGGGUCCAAUAAUUUGAUCGAUGCGACCUGUACUUUUUUCUUCAAUUGUGGAAACCUCGGGAGGAGAAGUAGUAGGAUUGGUUCUCAUAAUUAUCACAUAAUUAAAAAAGGAAUUUGUUGAAACUUUUAUUUUUUUAUUCUUGAAUAAUGCCAAAUCAAAUAAAAAAUCCAAAACUAAAAAGGAAAUGAAUUAGUUAAUUCAAUAAGAGAGAAAAGGGGACCAGGACUUGAUUUCGUUGCCCAAGUGAAUCCCAUUCAAUCGUUUACUCAUGGAAUGAGUCUGUUGGAAAGUUCAAUCGAUCUUUUUUUCAUAUACAUUUUGCCUUUUGUGGAGGAUCUGUGCCUACUCUACUAUCCUAUCUAGGACUUCGAUAUACAAAAUAUAUACUACUGUGAAGCAUAGAUUGCUGCUACCUCUUGAGCAUGCGUUGGUUUUCCCUUGAAGAGGAAAGGGUGAUGGAACAAAGUAGCAUAAGUAUUUCCCUCAGUUUUUGAGAACCAAGGUAUCAAUCCAGUAGGAGAUUACACACAAGUCACCUAGUACCUGCACAAACAAUCAAGAACCUUGCAACCAACACGAUAAAGGGGUUGUCAAUCCCUUCAUGGUCACUCGCAAAAGUGAGAUCUUAUAAAGAUAGUAAGAUAAAUAUUUUUGGUAUUUUUGUUGUAUAAAUUGGAAAGUAAAGAUUGCAAAAUAAACGGCGAAAGAAAUUGGCAAGUUGACAGGAAACUAAUAUGAUGUAAAAUAGAACCCGGGGCCAUAGGUUUCACUAGUGGCUUCUCCAAUGAAAGCAUAUAAUACGGUCGGUGAACAAACUACUGCCGAGAAAUUGAUAGAAGAGCGCAUAGUUAUGAGAAUAUCUAGGUAAUGAUCAUGAAUAUAGGCAUCACGUCCGUGUCAAGUAGACCGAAACGAUUCUGCAUCUACUACAAUUACUCCACACAUCGACCGCUAUCCAGCAUGCAUCUAGAGUAUUAAGUUCAUAAGAACAGAGUAACGCAUUAAGCAAGAUGACAUGAUGUAGAGGGAUAAACUCAAGCAAUAUGAUAUAAACCCCAUCUUUUUAUCCUCGAUGGCAACAAUACAAUACGUGCCUUGCUGCCCCUACUGUCACGGGGAAAGGACACCGCAAGAUUGAACCCAAAGCUAAGCACUUCUCCCAUUGCAAGAAAGAUCAAUCUAGUAUACCAAACUAAACCAAUAAUUCGAAGAGACUUACACUACUGCAGGAUGGUCCAAACGCGACACUACAAUCAGAGACCCUUCGACCAAACUGUGUGCGAUGCUAUAAUCGCAAAUGAUGGUGUAAAAAAACCGUCAAAAAAGGUGCAAAACGUUUGCGAUGACAGAUGCAUCAAAGACGGUUCAGAAUUUAGUUGCGUGUGCGAUGCAGGGCAUACAGUUCAACUCAAUGAACUGUUUGUGAUGAGGAGGCACACAAUAAACGGGUAGCCAGAUGAAGGUGUGUGCGAUAUACUGCAUACGGCUCACUGGGAUGAACUGUGUGUGAUUAGGCAACACAAAUGGAAACGGUUCAACUGAACAAGAUGUGUGUGAUACGCGGCAAACAGGCUUGUAAUCUAAAAUGUGUGCGAAGACCAAUAAUAACACGAACGAUUGCUGCUAAUAAGCCGUGUGAAUUGCUCUGUCUACAAUAGAAUAACAUGUAUAUAUAUAUAUAACUGAAAUAAACAUCCAAUUACAUAAGUGACUAUACAGAACAUUCGCACACACCUCAAUAAACAAUUGCAUGCAUUCUAAAUUAGGAGAAACUAUCGUCUAGUCAUCUACUUCUUGUGACGCCCCCGCCACUGCUAUGUGGCUCGAUCCCUCGUCUGGGUCAGGAAGAAGACAGUUCCUCAUGUCAAUGAUCCGCCUGUACAUCUCGUAACUAGUGUACGCGUCCAUGGCCACGUACUUGACAUGUUGUUCAUCCAUUCUCUUAUGCCACACACUAUGCCAGGCGUUCUUGUCCUUAUUGCUCUCUUGCUUCAUCUUUAUGUAGUAGGGGUCAAUGAUGGCCGAGGCGCGGUCAACGAGGGAGUUCAGUAUGCUUUUGUCGGUGCCCCAGACCUUGUAGUGGUGCUGGAUGUUGACAAGAUUCUGGCAUUUCAAGUCCGAAACCUUGAGCGCUUUUAGAUCGUUGGUGGUGUCCACCGUAGCGAAACUGUAGUCGGAGCUCUUGAUAAACCUGGAGAAACGCUCACAAGGCCUUGUGGCAAGGUGGAAGUGGUAGACGAGGACGUCAUGUCGCACGCACAACUGGGCAACGGCAACCUUCUGAUCGUGCCCGGCACGGCCGAUGGUGUACUCCAGGUCGAUGCCGACCACUCGGUACUUGUCCUCGGCAAGGAAAGGCUCCAUAGUUUGGAUGGAUCUCUCCACCGAGACUGGAUCGUCCGUGUACACCACCGAGAGGGCCUUCCCCCUCACGUGGGUGUCCACUACGUGAUGCGUGGUGAACUGCCCGCCGUUGUCGUCGUCGGCCGCUGGGAGCGCCAUUGGAGCCACGGGGAGCACCAUUGGAACCGCUGGAUGUCCUCUCUGUAUGUGUCCUCGUGGGUGUGCUUAUUGUGACGUGUGAGACGAGAGAUGAAGGUAAAUGGCCGCAGGAAUAAAAGGGGGCCGGGUGUCGGUGUCAAAACCGGUGGAUCUCAGGUAGGGGGUCCCGAACUGUGCGUCUAAGGUCGAUGGUAACAGGAGAUAGGGGACACGAUGUUUAUCCAGGUUCGGGCCCUCUCUAUGGAGGUAAUACCCUACUUCCUGCUUGAUUGAUCUUGAUGAAUAUGAGUAUUACAAGAGUUGAUCUACAAUGAGAUCGUAAUGGCUAAACCCUAGAAGUCUAGCCUGUAUGACUAUGGUAAUGAAUAUAUGCCUUCCGGACUAAACCCUCUGGUUUAUAUAGACACCGGGGGGAUCUAGGGUUACAUAGAGUCGGUUACAUAGAAAGGAAUCUUCAUAGUUGAUCACCAAGCUUGCCUUCCAUGCCAAGGAGAGUCCUAUCCGGACACGGGUAUAGUCUUCGGCCUUCGUGUCUUCACAGCCCAUCAGUCCGGCCCAUGGAUAACAGGCCGGACGCCCGAGGACCCCUUAGUCCAGGACCCCCUCAGUAGCCCCUGAACCUGGCUUCAGUGACGAGGAGUCCGGCGCGUAGAUUGUCUUUGGCAUUGCAAGGCGGGUUCCCCCUUCCGAACUCCAAGAUAGUCUUCAGACGUAAUGAUUGUAUCUGGACCUGUAUGCACAUCUGCAGAGAAUAUAAUAUUCCACGAGUCCAAUCCGCUGAAAACUUUUUGGUAACAUGACAUCACGCCUGCCCGGUCAUUAUUUUCGAACCGUUGGCAAGCCCGCCGUCCCACGUCUUGAGACGUGGUUUUAUUGGCACGUCUUAUCCAAGUGGAGAUCGUGUCCCCCUUUUUUAUGGGAUUCUUAUCAACCCAGACGUGGGUAACCCAACAGUCACUUGGGUACAACUCCUUGGGAAUAGGCAAGUUUUGAGGCCUAGGAGGAGACGUUCGAUAUUCACGGUCUUUAUAUAGGGGUACAGACCCGUCUUUUUUCUUUCAUGCUUGCUUCUUCCUCAACCCUUGGUACCUCGAGUUCCAACACCCGGGUUUCAGUCGCCACAAGCCCCAAUCAUGUCCAGAUCCAACCGUCAAGGCCGGUGGGUGGCUUCUUGUGUCAUAGAGGAGAUAUUGCAAAGCUUCAGGCGGUGAGGUAUCUGACCGCAGAAAUCCUUCAUCGGCUCCCUGCUAAGGGGCAGGUUAUCCCUACCCCCAGAUCUAGCGAGAGGGUCGUGUUCGUGUUCCACUUCCUCCACAGGUUAGGGUUCGCGCUUAACCCCUUCAUCCGAGGGCUCAAGUUUUAUUAUGGGCAUGAUUUUCACGAUCUGGCCCCUGACUCUAUUCUUCUCAUCUCGGCGUUUAUCGUCACGUGCGAAGCCUUCCUCCGAACUCCUCCGCACUUCGGCUUGUGGCUCAAGACCUUCAACAUGAAGCCGCAAGUGAUAGAGGGGGAGCAGGCAGAGUGCGGUGGUGCCACAGUGAGCAAGCUUCCUAGCACUGUUUGGCUCAAAGGAUCCUUCGCCGAAUCUUUCGACUUAUGGCAACAGGGGUGGUUCUAUAUGACCGAGCCUCGUGGCUCCAAGUGGGCAACUACGCCCGCAUUCCGAUCCGGCCCCCCAAUUCAGCUUGCUUCAUGGAUCAAUAAGGGGUUGGUCUGGGGAUCAGUUGAUGAAGUGCGUACUCUGCAGAGUCGCAUCCGAAGCCUUGCCGAGAAGGGCAUCGAUCUUGUUAACGUUGUUCAAGUAAUGCUAGUCCGCCGGACCCUGCCGUGCCAGCGACGGCCUCUCCGUAUGUGGGAGUUUAAUCCACAAGGGACACGGACUCUUCAGCACUUCUUCGGUGCUACACACGAAGGAAUGUGGAGAUUGUUUUUCAGGAAACGAAAGCAAUGGCCGAACACCACCGAAGAUAUCGGCCUUGACUGUAACCAUCCGGACACCUUAGUAAGUAUUCCAUUCCCGAACACCUUUUAGUCAAGCAUCCCGUAAUAAGAUACUGAUCAAACCAUCCCUUUCCAGGGCUGGAUAAAGAAAGUGCAACGAAUCAGGUGUCCGGCCCCCCUUCCCGAAGACUCAGCGGACGCCGUGCUGACAAGGAUGCUGGCCCCGACACCAUACGAGGUGCCUACAAAGGAGGGCCCGAACAGGUAGACUAGAGGUGACCUCUGUCCCGGGGAUAGACUGGACACCUUGUUCGGGGAAACUGAAAAUCCUUCGCUCGAAGGCAAAGGUGCGGGAGAAGCAAACAUUCCAUCUUCCCAUGGCAAGAAGAGGGCCGCCUCCGAAAAUCGGGAGGGGAAGUCUCCCAAGAGAGGCAGAAUGCCAUCGUCGGGCGGCUCGGACCUGGCGAGCGACGUCGCCGUAAAAAUCCAGGAUGAGGACAAGCCUCCGGUCGAACCGUAAGUGAAGCAGGGUGCUCUAAACAUACCCCACUCCUUUCCUUUUACCGAAGUAUCAUCUAAUAUAUGUAAAUCCUUGUAGUUUGACGCCCAGUGUUCCUCAACCAUCCUCUUCCUCGGGAGAUCUUCUUCCGGAGAUGAUGGAGAGUAAUACGCCUUCUCUGGCCUCCUCGCUCAAUAGGCGGACGACUUUGAGGUGUCGUCCCGGAGGGUUUCUCCCGACCGACAAGCAGUGCGGGGGACGGGGAAGGCAUUACCCGAAGGUGGUGCCUCUGUCGCCCAGGGUUCGGGGGUCAAGAAUGACGGCACCGGACUAUCCGGUGUACUACCGGAGAUGAUUCUGGAGACGAGUAAACGAAUUCCUUCAAAGGAAGGUUGUACUCCUGCGGCGGCUUCCAAAGAUUCGGGAGCGCCGGACAUGUUGACGGACAUGCUACGACAAGCGUCCGUCUCAGAGGAACACCGUGCCUUGAUGGGUACAGUGGUCGAGCGGGUUCUGUCUGCAAAGAGCGGAUUGAAUGAAGCCUUCACGAGCCUGCUAAGAGGCUUCGAGGUUUGUGAUGUAACUUUUCCAGUUGUACUUUAUUCGCAGAAUGCGCCUAUGUAUAGAUAAUAGCCCCUGAGACUCGGAUUGCCUUCUCAAAGGAGGCGAUCGGAGGAUCAAAAAGAUAUGCUCAGGUAAUAAUCUGAUGUAAUUGAAAUACAGGCCGUUCCCCUGGCAAGUACCCGGACUACAGAGGUAGCCGAACUCCAGCGAAAGCUUGAUAUGGCAGGGGAUGACAUUGCAUUGAUCAACAAGCGUCUUGACGAAUCGCAAGGUAUGUUUUUCGAGCCUGCAUUACACAGAUGUGCUUAUGAUGUAAGCCUGAAGCUAAAAAUUGUAUAUUGGACAUGCAUGACUGCAGAUGGUGCUGCCGCAGUUGAGAUUCUUCGGGCGGAGCAGGCCCGGGCCAAGGAGCAGGCCCGGUUUAGUAAUGCGGCUGCCGAAAAGGCAUCGGCUGAGUUAGAAGCCGAACAAGCUGCUCGGCGCCAAGACGAGGAGAAAAUAUCCACGAUGGAGCUCGAACUAAAAAUGCUACUAGCCGCUGUGAACUUCUUGAGAAGGAGAAUGAAGCCAAAACGGCUGAACUUGACAAGGCCUUGCAAGAGGCGAGAGAAGCGCAGUCUGAAUCCAGAGCAGCCCGUGAGGAGAUCCAGCAAGCUGGGGAGAUUGCGGCUAGUAAGCCCUUUUGUUACAAACUAAGUUCAGCGAUCCGAACUAUGCUUAGCUUAACCAAGUGUGGAGUUCUUCGGACGAGUUUUUAGACUUGCCGAAGAGUUCUUCCGAUGCGGCGCAGUUUUACGAAGCGCGAGUGGGUUAUGCAAUGGAGAAGCUUUUCUGGUCACAAUUUGGCGCAUGAAAACGCCCUCUGUUGCUGAAUGAAUAGAUGUCCCAAUGGGCCGAGCUUCGUAGGAUAUCCGGUGCUGCCAUGAAGAACGUCAUAAUCCGGUUGUGGCCGACCGAGCCUGUUCUGAAUAGCUAUUUCGGCUUGGUGCAGCGGCUUGUUGAUGCGGUGCCACGUAUCGAUGCUGUGAAGCGGUCGGUGUGCAUUGAGGGUGCAGGGAUGGCCCUUGCCCGAGUCAAGACAUUUAGAGAGAAGAUGAAGGCCAUCGAUGUUGCGGCGAAGAGUCCACCCAAGGGCAAGGACCGCCAUGAACCGGAGCAUUAUUUUGAAGACGUCCUAGAGGUCGCCCGCUUGAUAGAGGGUCAAUGCUCGAAAGACAUAAUGUUCGAGUGAGGUGUAUGAGAAUUGUAAAAGACAAUUUUAUAAUUAAUCUAUUUUUAUGUUUUGCUCGAAAGCUUGUGUUCCUCCUGUGUGGCCGUUUUUAUGUAAUCUGAAUGUUUUCCAAUCGUCGGCUUCAGCCCCCUCGUAGGAAGUACGGGGGUGUUCGGAAAAGCAUUAAUCACUCUUGAUCCAACGUCUUUGUCCAUGAAGGAGGUGACAAUGCGGCAAACCAGGCAAUCAGACUAUAGGGCGUUAACACUUUCACUUAGCCAUAGGAGUUUUAUGGUGGGUCUACGACAUAGCCCCUAGUAUGUACGCGACGUAUUAUAAUACGAUGCUUUACAUAUUUGAUCUGAAAAAGAUCCUUCGUGUGACACGGAGAGAAUCGCUAAAGAUUCCAAUAAGUCGUCAAGUGGUUGACCAGCUCUCACCGCAUCAUGACAGUCAGUUUUCGGCUUUCUCUACUGAGGUACUUAACCAGAUGAAUCGGAAGCACAAUCGCAGUAGUUCUCCCUUUACUACCCUAGCCGAUGGAGCGGAACGUAGGGUAGCGAGCACAGGAGCCGGGCAACCCUACUAUUGACCCAAGACAAUGAUUCGGAGCUGAUGCAUAUAAGGCCAAACUUGCGAUGCCGAAGUACACUAUAAAGUUGUUUGGACUUUGUUGGCAACCCAUUUGUUCCCAUACCGAGCCCCUGGCAGGUUAUGCCGAGGUACAUCUGUGAAACAUAGGAGCCAUAUUCAUUGGCGAGAAGUCACGAAUGAUUAAUUCGGAUAAUGUUUACUGGGACCUGAGCGAUAUGCGAAUGAUUACUUUAUAUAUAAAAAGACCACAACCCCGGCUAUUUGACAUGCUCGGGGUCGGAGGUGGAGGAAAAAGGCAUAUUACAGGCUCGAAAUAAAGAGUGCGGUCUACAAAAAGUUAUUUUGGACCUCCUGUCGCACGUCUGCACCGCCUGUCCUCGGCGAGGGGAAUCCUCGACGGAAGUAGCCCCUUAGGUGAGUGUACGGAUCCGAACUCCGAUAGACACAGUUUUAGAUGUUUGUCCUUUUCGUCACCUGUUUUUAAGAGAUAAUGAAGAAAGAAAUAAAAAGAUAAUAGAUAAAAAAUGUUACGGGAGUGCUUGCAGGCUUGUCCGUAGUGUGCUUCAGCUAAUGCCCAUGGUAUCCUGAGUGCGUAGUGAUGUAUGCGCGGUACAAAUUUUGCAGGUAUAUGAGGUGGGCGGCGGAAGCCGAACUACUAUUUCUGCUCCGGGAUUGAUCGAUCCUCGGGGGAAAUUGCUUCUGACCCCCGGUAUUUGGUUGGUGAACCUCUCCGUCGUCCCUGCCACCUGGCGGCCUCCUCCCUUUGUGUUCGGCGUUGAGCUUGCCGGCCUGCUUGAAGACCCAAUAGCUUCUGUUGGUAUGAUUAGCUAGUUUAUCGGGGUGGCCGUGAAUCUGGCAGGGUCAGUCCAAUAUCCUGUCUAGGUUGGAUGGUUCAUCUCAGUUCACCUUGAAUGGCUUCUUCCGUUGACCGGGCUUGGGAUUGCUAAAUCCGGCGUUGACCGCUGUGUCGCGUGAUCUUUCUUUAUCAUUGCGACUGUUGUGUUUGCUUUGUCGUGGCUUGCCAUUGCCGUGUCGGAUUUCAGAAGUGCCCGAGUCGCUGGCGAUGUUGCUUCUACGAGUGAGCCAGCUGUCUUCUCCUACGCAAAAGCUGGUCAUUAGAGCAGUAAGGGCUGUCAUGGAUUUAGGUCCUUCUUGACCGAGGUGGCGUGCAAGCCAUUCGUCCCGGACGCGGUGUCUGAAGGCCACAAGGGCUUCCGCGUCCGGACAGUCGACGAUUUGGUUCUUUUUAACUAAGAACCUUGUCCAAAGUUUCCUGGCUAACUCUCCGGGCUGCUGGACAAUGUGGCUUAAGUCAUCGGCAUCCGGUGGCCGGACAUAUGUUCCUUGGAAGUUGUCAAGGAAGGCUUCUUCCAAGUCCUCAAAGCUGCCGAUAGAAUUUUCAGGCAGGCUGUUUAACCAGUGCCGAGCUGGCCCUUUUGGCUUUAGUGGGAGGUAUUUGAUGGUGUGGAGGUCGUCUCCAUGGGCCAUAUCGAUGUGGAGAAUAAAAUCUUCUGUCCAUACCCGGGAUCGGUUGUUCCGUCGUAUGAUUCAAUAUUGACGUGUUUGAAUCCUUCGGGGAAUUCAUGAUCCAUUACUUCACCAGUGAAGCAGAGAGGGUGUGCGGCGCCUCUAUGUUGGGCCACACUGCGACGUACCUCCGAAGGAGUCCAUUUGCGGUUUUCGCCCCAGGCGUCGAUAGGUUUGUCACGUCCGAAUAGGUAGCCGUCGUCGCGUGUCGAGGCAUGCCCUCGCGAUCCGUAGAUCGAUCUUGCGUGUCUUGCUCUACUGUCCAAGUCCCAUCGAAGGUCGUCUGUACAACCCCGAGCUGUUUUAUUCUUGCCUUUACAGCGAGGUGAGGCGGUCUGGUGUUCGGCUUGAGUUGCCUCUUUAUCCGGACCGAGUUGUCGUCGACCUGCCGCAUUGAGCGAUGAUGGUACGGGCUCCAACGCCUCGUCAUCGAACUGAGGUAGCAAUCUAUGCUUCGGGUAGCUUUUAGCUGGGCCACUAAGGCCGUAUUCUUCGGUGGCCAGGACUUCGGUCCAUCUAUCGUUGAGCAGGUCUUGGUCAGCUUGAAGCUGCUGCUGCUGCUUCUUUUUCAGGUUCCGUGCAGUGGCUAUUAGCCUGCGCUUGAAGCGCUCCUGCUCGAGGGGUUCUUCUGGCACAAUGAAGUCUUCGUCGCCGAGGCUUACCUCAUCUUCGGAGAACGGAAGGUAGUUGUCAUCCUCCGAAUUGUCGCUGGGCAGGGCCUGUUCAUCGGGGCUGGCUUGCCCGUUUUCUUGUUCCUCCUGUUCGGAUGUUGCUCCAACAGGGUCUUCAUUGUUUUCGGCGUCGUCCGGAGUAUUAUUUUCUCCGGUGCCAGUGUUGCUGUCUUUUGAGCGAUGUGACUUAGAGCGGCGUUUAGGACGUCGGCGCUUAGCCUGUGUCUCAGGAGGUUUAUUCUCAACUAGAUCUUCUUUGUCAUCAUCGUUAGCCUCUUUAGGUGUAUCAACCAUGUACACAUCGUAUGAAGAGGUGGCCGUCCAACGUCCAGUGAAUGGCUGGUCUUGGCCUUGCUCCUUGUCGGCAUCGCGUCCAGACCGUCGAUGUCUUCGGAGCCAUAAUCAAGCACGUCGGUUAAGUCCUCACAGUGGCUAUGAAGUGGGUGGCGGGUGGGAAGCAAAAUUCUCCAUCAUCAGCCCCUAGCUCGAACCGAACAUAGUUCGGCUGCGAGUCCCCCGCCAAGGACAGGUUCUUUAACGAGUUUUGCACAUCGCCCGAAGGUGAGUGCUGGAAGAUGUCUGUGGUGCUGAAUUCAAAGAUCGAUAAACGAUCAAGUUCGGCGUCUGCAGGCGUACGUAGUUCGGAAUUUAUAGCCGGGGACGAGUCCGGAAUUCCGGUAACGCAGGUAUUGCAUGAGGUCGAGUCCGUGUGCAGCUCCAAGGCUGCAGACCCUGUGACCUCGGACGGCACAAUCCGCUCUGGAUCUAAGGCCAGAGCAGUAACAGGAACCGUCUCCUGGAUGUGGUCCGAUGAUAGAUUUAAGUCAUGUUCAUCGGAGCGAGGGGGACCGAUUGCCACGGUCUCAAAUCCGUCGAAGAUCAAGUCUCCACGGAUGUCCGCGACGUAGUUCAAGCUUCCAAAUCUGACCUGAUGGCUAGGGGCGUAGCUAUCAAUCUGCUCCAGAUGGCCAAGCGAAUUGGCCCGCAGUACGAAGCCGCUGAACACGAAGAUCUGUCCCGGAAGGAAGGUUUCCCCUUGGACAACAUCGCUAUGGGUGAUAGAAGGAGCCAUCAGACCUACUGACGACGGCACAGUGCAACUCUCAAUGAAAGCACCAAUGUCGGUGUCAAAACCGGCGGAUCUCGGGUAGGGGGUCCAGAACAGUGCGUCUAAGGUCGAUGGUAACAGGAGACAGGGGACACGAUGUUUACCCAGGUUCGGGCCCUCUCUAUGGAGGUAAUACCCUACUUCCUGCUUGAUUGAUCUUGAUGAAUAUGAGUAUUACAAGAGUUGAUCUACCACGAGAUCGUAAUGGCUAUACCCUAGAAGUCUAACCUGUAUGACUAUGGUAAUGAAUAUAUGCCUUUCGGACUAAACCCUCCGGUUUAUAUAGACACCGGGGGGGGUCUAGGGUUACAUAGAGUCGGUUACAUAGAAAGGAAUAUUCAUAGUUGAUCGCCAAGUUUGCCUUCCACGCCAAGGAGAGUCCUAUCCGGACACGGGUACACUCUUCGGCCUUCGUGUCUUCACAGCCCAUCAGUCCGGCCCAUGGAUAACAGGCCGGACGCCCGAGGACCCCUUAGUCCAGGACUCCCUCACCAGGCGGUGUGGAUUCUCGGCGCGUCCGCAUGGUAGUUUUUGCAGCAGGUAACUGCACCAUCGCGCCGCGCCCGACGCAACCGCUUGCACAAGAACAUGCGUGAUCGCGCACCGGCCCAAAACACUGGCAGCACGCGUGGAGGGAUGAGGGCAGAGCACCCGGAGGGAAGCGAGAGCAGAGCGCGCGCGGUGGGACGCGAGCAAAGCGCGUCGUGGCCUCCUGAACCGCAAGCAACCACACGCAUGGAGCAGUUGAACACGCAGCAAAUGGUCGCCUACAAACCGCCCGACAGUUGCGUCGCUGCGUAGAGAGCGGCCGUGUGAUACCAUCUCCGUGUAGUCUAUAGUCUCCUUAUAUUUCGUGCCAUACUUUGCCCUCAAAUUUAACCAACAAAAUGUUAAUGCAUGUUUUAAAAAUUAUAUAAUUGGAACCUAUGUUCAAAUACAAAUCCAACUAUAUAAUCUUUGGCAACAUGCAUUUGUAUUUUAUUAGUUAAAUCGUACUUAUAAACCAGGAUGGUGGUAUAGUAGGUAAUUAAAUCGCAAACGCUUUUUUAUUAAUCGUAUGUGUACAUGGCGUUUCGUCCUCCUCUCACACGUCUUGUCACCACGCUGCCGCAGACGGCUUAUAGCGCAAGCUUGCGCAGCGUGGGGGCGUUCGUUUUGCCAAACGGUGGCGCCAAUGAAUCGUCGGUGAGUCCGUUCCCGCGCAACCUCACAGGUUCCUGCGCAAGCUUCCCGCCCGACUCGGUGAAAUCCCCCAAAAUCCCAAUGCUUACCGGCCUGCUACAAAAACCCUCACGGCCGGCGAGUCCUGCGUCGCAUUUUCCCCUUCAUCCCUGUAGCUUAUCUCGUGUGCUUCUCCCACAUUCGCCAAUGGCACCGGUCCGUCGUUGUCACUCAGCCACUCCGCCGUCAUCAGAGGACAGCUCCAGCUGGGAGGCUACACCGCGGUGGCGCAGUCGCCGGCGUAGUGUAGUGCGCGUAGCGUCCCUGUUGGGUGUGAGCGGAACACCCACCACACGCUCCACCGCCGGUGCCCGUCGGCAGCUGUUGCCAGUUGCCGUUGCCGCCACACCACCGUCGAAAGCCAGGGCCGUCGCCCGCUCUGCCGCCGUGGCCCGAAGGCGGGAGAUGGCCGUCGUGGCCGCCACCCCACUGCCGGCCACUGCGUCCAUCACCCGCUCCGCCACCGCGGCUCAAACGCGGGAGGUGGUGGUCAUGGCCGCCACUCCGUUGUUGGUCGCCAUGGCCGCCAGCCCACCGUCGACCGCCGGGGUCAUCACCAGCUCCGCCACCGCCCCCCGAAGGCGGGAGGCGGAGGUGGAUGCCCGCACGUGAGACAGUGACCUUGCGCGCUACGCCGAGUUCCUGCGGGAGGAGGAGGAGCGCCUCGUCGAGCAUGCAAAGAGCCUUACCGCCGCAGUGGCAGCGGCACAUGCCGCCUCAGAGGCGAGGAAUCAGGAGAUCUAUGAGGAGAACCACUGCUUCGAGAGGGGUCGUCUGGAGCGGCAGAGGGCGUUCGAGGUGAGCAUCGCUAAAGCUGCAUUAGCGGCAGGCACCGCAUUGCGGGUGCCCAGCUCGUCGGUAGGCUCCGCCUCCACCGCCUCUUACUGAGUGCGCUUGGCAGAGGAGAGGCAGCCGGAAGUAGUACAAAGCCCCUCCACAGUAGUAGUAGUAUUUAGGGGCUAUUUUGUUCAGUUCAUCUCACUAUAGAAGUGGUGGAACUGUACAACGUACUUAAAAUUAGCUAGUAUAUAUAGUUGAACUAGCUAUUUUAGUACAUGGUUGGCAACAAUUGGGGAAAAGUUUGGUCAGUUCAGCUGUCGAGUUGAACUGUUUGUAUAAAUUAAGAACGACUGCUUAAUCUAUGAAUGAAAUCUAUGCUUAAUUACUGAAUUUUAGUUGCAAAAAUUAGAUACUGCUAGUGACUUUUAGGUUCAUAUUUUGACAAAUCGCAGUAUUACAAGGAUUGACAAAUCUUACCAAAUUGUUUGUAUGUGGUUGCAAACGGGUCAUCCAAAACAACCAUUUGUGUUGAAGGGAUGCAAAAAUCAUGCGCUGCUCUCACUUUGCAUACGGGUGUUCUAUAUUAAACGUUUGCGAUCAAGAGCUGCAGAAUCCUGCUCGGCACAUUUUCUCUUGGCUUCCUAGAGAAGUUGUCGGUUUGCAUACGGGUGUUCUAAACUAAAACGUUUGCGAUGAGUGUUAUAUAUUUAAAAAGCGAAUUAAACUGCAGCUUGGGCGCCAUUAAUGGAGAGGAUGCGAGCACGGCGGGCGGCCAUGGAAGUCAAAGGGCUCGCUUCCCAGUGAACCUGCGCAACAUACAGCUUGCACCCUUCGUGGUGAGCCUGCGCACUCAAGGACAGCUUGCACACCUCUCUGUCAGCCUGUGCACCGGACGGUGCUCGCACGCCUCCCAUUCAGUCAAGGUCAAGCAGCUUUCCACACGGCACCUCCUACAACCAUUAAAACCAAGACACGUGGUGUCACGUGAAUGGUUAACAGAAUUUUUGAUUUACUAGAAUUUAAAAACCAGGCACCUCGAUGUUUUGCCGGCAAUCAAUGGUGCCCUAGUGUUUGAAAUUCAUUCCCAUUUCUUGCAUGGGACGUAAGCAUGCACCCAAGGACACAUAUUUGAUUUUUCAACCAAUUUAUAUGCACUAGAGCAUGUGCAUGUAGUUCAAAUUUGAAUUAUGCACAUAAAAUGCAUUGAAAACUCAGGUAAUGCAUAAAAUGUCCAAACGAACCGCGAAAAAUCACAAAAAAUCACACAACACUCCUGUUGUUCUAUGUUGACACGAGAAAAAAACUGAAAGCAAUAAGACGCAAUGGAUAUCAUUUCGUCUACAAAGGUGGGACGUUCCCUACCGAAAACCAUCAUGCUUGUUGUGAGAAGCUCCGGUUUGUGAGAAUCAUAUACCCAGACCUGCCCCAAAUGGGACAAAAUUUGUUGCCACGGCAUGUUGAUGCCGCUCCAUGAUAGCAUGGCAAGUUUCAUGAAUUUCAGACGAGUUUUGGAUUUACUAGAAUUUAAAAACCAGGCAUCUCAAUGUUUUGCCGGCAAUCAACGGUGCCCCGGUGUUUGAAAUUCAUUCCCAUUUAUUGCAUGUAACCUAAGCAUGCACCCCAGGACACAUAUUUGAUUUUUCAACCAAUUUAUAUGCACUGGAGCAUGUGCAUGUAGUUCAAAUUUAAAUUAUGCACAUAAAAUGCAUUGAAAACUCAGUUAAUGCAUAAAAAUAUCCAAACCAACCCCGAAAAAUCACAAAAAAUCACAAAACACUCCUGUUGUUCUAUGUUGACACGAGAAAAAAUUUGAAAGCAAUAAGAGGCAAUGGAUAACGUUUCGUCCACAAAGGUGGGACGCUCCCUACCGAAAACCAUCUUGCUUGUUGUGAGAAGCUCCGGUUUGUGAGAAGCAUAUAACCAAACCUGCCCCAAAUGGGACAAAAUUUGUACCACGGCAUGUUGAUGCCGCUCCAUGAUAGCAUGCCAAGUUUCAUGAAUUUCAGCCGAGUUUUGGAUUUACAAGAAUUUAAAAACCAGGCAUCUCAAUGUUUUACCGGCAAUCAACGGUGCCCUGGUGUUUGAAAUUCAUUCCCAUUUCUGGCAUGGGACCUAAGCAAGCACCCAAGGACACAUAUUGAUUUUCCAACCAAUUUAUAUGCACUGGAGCGUGUGCAUGUAGUUCACAUUUGAAUUAUGCAUGUAAAAUGCAUUGAAAACUCAGUUAAUGCAUAAAAAUGUCCAAACAAACCCCGAAAAAUCACAAAAAAUCACACAACACUCCUACUAUUCUAUGUUGACACGAGAAAAAAAUUUGUAAGCAAUAAGAGGCAAUGGAUAUCGUUUCGUCCACAAAGGUGGGAUGUUCCCUACCUGAAACCAUCAUGCCUAUUGUGAGAAGCUCCGGUUUGUGAGAAGCAUAUACCCAAACCUGCCCCAAAUGGGACAAAAUUUGUACCACAACAUGUUGAUGCCGCUCCAUGAUAUCAUGCAGCGUUUCAUGAAUUUCAGACGUGUUUUGGAUUUACUAGAAUUUGAAAACCAGGCAUCUCAAUGUUUUGCCGACAAUCAACGAUGCCCCGGUGUUUGAAAUUCAUUCCCAUUUCUUGCAUGGGACCUAAGCAUGCACCCAAGGACACAGAUUUGAUUUUUCAACCAAUUUAUAUGCACAGGAGCAUUUGCAUUUAGUUCAAAUUUGAAUUAUGCAUAUAAAAUGCAUUGAAAACUCAGUUAAUGCAUAAAAAUGUCCAAACGAACCCUAAAAAACACAAAAAAUCACACAACACUCCUGUUGUUCUAUGUGGACACGAGAAAAAAAUUUGAAAGCAAUAAGAGGCAAUGGAUAUCGAUUCGUCCACAAAGGUGGGAUGUUCCCUACCGAAAACCAUCAUGCUUCUUGUGAGAACCUCCGGUUUGUGAGAAGCAUAUACCCAAACCUGCCCCAAAUGGGACAAAAUUUGUACCACGGCAUGUUGAUGCCGCUCCAUGAUAGCAUGCCAAGUUUCAUGAAUUUCAGACGAGUUUUGGAUUUACUAGAAUUUAAAAACCAGGCAUCUCAAUGUUUUGCCGGCAAUCAACGGUGCCCCGGUGCUUGAAAUUCAUUCCCAUUUCUUGCAUGUGACCUAAGCAUGCACCCAAGGACACAGAUUUGAUUUUUCAACCAAUUUAUAUGCACUGGAGCAUGUGGAUGUAGUUCAAAUUUGAAUUAUGCACAUAAAAUGCAUUCAAAACUCAGUUAAUGCAUAAAAAUGUCCAAACGAACCCCGAAAAAUCACAAAAAAUAACACAACAGUCCUGUUGUUCUAUGUUGAGACGAGAAAAAAAUUGUAAGCAAUAAGAGGCAAUGGAUAUCGCUUCGUCCACAAAGGUGGGAUGUCCCCUACCGAAAACCAUCACGCCUGUUGUCAGAAGCUCCGGUUUGUGAGAAGCAUAUACCCAAACCUGCCCCAAAUGGGACAAAAUUUGUACCACGACAUGUUGAUGCCGCUCCAUGAUAGCAUACCAAGUUUCAUGAAUUUCAGACGAGUUUUGGAUUUACUAGAAUUUGAAAACCAGGCAUCUCAAUGUUUGCCGGCAAUCAACGGUGCCCCGGUGUUUGAAAUUCAUUCCCAUUUCUUGCAUGGGACCUAAGCAUGCACCCAAGGACACAGAUUUGAUUUUUCAACCAAUUUAUAUGCACUGGAGCAUGUGCAUUUAGUUCAAAUUUUAAUUAUGCACAUAAAAAGCAUUGAAAACUCAGUUAAUGCAUAAAAAUGUCCAAACCAACCCCAAAAAAUCACAAAAAAAUCACACAACACUUCUGUUGUUCUAUGUGGACACGAGAAAAGAACUUGAAAGCAAUAAGAGGCAAUGGAUAUCGAUUCGUCCACAAAGGUGGGAAGUUCCCCACCGAAAACCAUCAUGCUUGUUGUGAGAAGCUCCAGUUUGUGAGAAGCAUGUACCCAAACCUGCCCCAAAUGGGACAAAAUUUGUACCACGGCAUGUUGAUGCCGCUCCAUGAUAGCAUGCCAAGUUUCAUGAAUUUCAGACGAAUUUUGGAUUUAGUAGAAUUUAAAACCCAGGCAUCUCAAUGUUUUGUCGACAAUCAACGGUGCCCGGGGGUGUGAAAUACAUUCCCAUUUCUUGCAUGCGACCUAAGCAUGUACCCAAGGACACAGAUUUGAAUUGCCAACCAAUUUAUAUGCACGGGAGCAUGUGCAUGUAGUUCAAAUUUGAAUUAUGCACAUAAAAUGCAUUGAAAACUUAGUUAAUGCAUAAAAAUGUCCAAACGAACCCCGAAAAAUCACAAAAAAAAUCACACGACACUCCUGUUCUUCUAUGUUGACACGAGAAAAAUAUUUGAAAGCAAUAAGAGGCAAUGGAUAUCGUUUGGUCCACAAUGGUGGGACGUUCCCUACCGAAAACCAUCAUGUUUGUUGUGAGAAGCUCCGGUUUGUGAGAAGCAUAUACCCAAACCUGCCCCAAAUGGGACAAAAUUUGUACCACGGCAUGUUGAUGCCGCUCCAUGAUAGCAUGCCAAGUUUCAUGAAUUUCAGACGAGUUUUGGAUUUACUAGAAUUUAAAAACCAGGCAUCUCAAUGUUUUGCCGGCAAUCAACGGUGCCCCGGUGUUUGAAAUCCAUUUCCCAUUUCUUGCAUGGGACCUAAGCAGGCACCCAAGGACACAGAGUUGUUUUUUCAACCAAUUUAUAUGCACUGGAGCAUGUGCAUGUAGUUCAAAUUUGAAUUAUGCACAUAAAAUCCAUUGAAAACUCCGCUAAUGCAUAAAAAUGUCCAAACGAACCCUGAAAAAUCACAAAAAAUCACACAACAGUCCUGUUGUUCUAUGUUGACACGAGAAAAAAAAUUGAAAGCAAUAAGAGGUAAUGGAUAUCAUUUCGUCCACAAAGGUGGGACGUUCCCUACCGAAAACCAUCAUGCUUGUUGUGAGAAGCUCUGAUUUGUGAGAAGCAUAUACCCAAACCUGCGCCAAAUGGGAUAAAAUUUGUACCACGGCAUGUUGAUGCCGCUCCAUGAUAGCAUGCCAAGUUUCAUGAAUUUCAUACGAGUUUUGGAUUUACUAGAAUUUAAAAACCAUGCAUCGCAAUGUUUUGCCGGCAAUCAACGGUUCCCUGGUGUUUGAAAUUCAUGCCCAUUUCUUGCACGGGACCUAAGCAUGCAGCCAAGGACACAAAUUUGAUUUUUCAACCAAUUUAUAUGCACUGGAGCAUGUGCAUGUAGUUCAAAUUUGAAUUGUUCACAUCAAAUGGCUAGAAAAUCAAUUUAAUGUAUAAAAUGUUCAAACGAACCCUGAGUAAUUUCAAUUCUUUUACGACACACAUAUAGUUGCAUGUUCACUCCAGAUAAAAGGUCUAGCAUUUCAAACACCGUCCAUUGCCGUCUGGAUUUUCCCCAACAGACCGUGUCAGUCGGCAAUAGUCUUUACCAACUGACUGUUUGUUAGCGGAAGCUGUUUUCCUGACCAAACUGUCUGUUGGGAAAGUAGAGUUGUUGUGUAAGAUGAAAAAACAAGUAGAUCGCACACAGUUUAUUAUCAGCAACCGUGUGAGAUGUGGUACAAAAUAUCUUGGAGCACCUUCGGUGUAUUGUACGCCUAUGGCUUACGGGAGAACGUGCAUCGGCUACAGUCCACAGCCGGCGUGUCAAGCACACAAGCUCGCUCCCCAAAUAUCAUUUCACUGUUCAAUCGUCGCCGGUGAAAGAUGGGCACGUGGACCCACGUCGUGGGGGCAACUUUGGUGGCCCACUCCGGCGAGAGUGCGGCCACAGCCGCCAUGCUCGUGCUAACAAGGUGCAUUUGCGUGGCCCCAAUUUGCGAUCGGGCGGCAAAGGCAGCCCAAACGGCCGUUGUUGCUUCUCAGGUGGUGGCAGCAACAUCUGCCUCGGGGAUAGCAACUGGCGAGAGCUGCACAGCAGCUGUCCGUUCCAUAGCGGCGGCCUUAGCCCUGAUGGAGGCCGCCCAUGACCAUGUCGAGGCCGCCCACACCCAGCUCCUGGUGGUCACCGCACAAAUCGAGCGAAGCUUCUCCGACAAUGGUUGGCAACCCACGGCCCAAGAGCUGGCAAUCGCCGAGCGCGUUCGUGCAGCCGUCCAUUCCUCCACCGCAUACCUUGUGACGACGGAGCCCGUCCAAGCACAAACCGUGUCUGCCCUCGCCCAGCUCAUGGCGGCCUUUUCCAAAGAGAUGGCGGACGCGGAUGGCGAGAUUCUUGUCGAGUAUGGUGCGAUGGAUGCCAUGGAGCCCCUUCCCCAGGAGAUCGUCGGGCGCGAGCUGGACAUGGAGGCGGCGACGGAGAUCGACGAGCACCAGCCGUAGUAGUACUCUAUGUUUUGUUUAAUUAAGAGUGCCGGUCUUUAAUUUUUUCAGAGUAAUGUUUUGGUCAGCUACCUCUGUUUAAUUGUUGAACUUGCUCGAUUAAGAAGUGUGGGUGUGCUGUAGUCUCCUUUGUGUACCCAAAUUAUGCAAUGACAUGGAUGACCACUGUAACCAUGGAAAUUCGAACCAAAACUCUUAACGUUCAAACUCAUCACACACGGGUUAAGCUAUCUGAAUCGUUUGUGAUGUCCACAUAUCGUACACAGUUCUGAAUAAGGGACCGUGUCUGAUGACACUUUGCACGCCAGUUUUUUGGCUGAAGCGAUUCCAAAUUUUCGGCUUCCGCGGAAAUAUCUACCUCCCCACCCCUCCCCCUUACCAAAAGCCACAUUUCCCCUCUUUCUGCCUUCCUUUCCAAGUUGAAACCUUCACUGCUUGCUUGCAGCGCCGCCGCCUCCUCGCCGGCUACCCUCCUUCACGCUGCUCGGCCUCCUCUAUCCAGGCAGGUAAUCCACACCGACCCCCAUCCUCCUCCUUCCACAUACCACAUGCCCCGACCGCCGGCACGAGCGCGACACCUUCCACCCAAAUCACCGACCCCUCCACCAAAUAAGCGCCGGCCUAAGCCAUGGUGCACGCAGUAUAGCCAGGACCUCAAGGAGCAUUUGGCAGUGAAGAAGCAAACCGCGGCCGAACGCACAGAUGAGGUCGCGAUGGCUGCCAUUCGUGCCAACCCCCAGAUCUUGGAGGAGCACCUUGCCAAUUGCUAGCUACGCCGGUUAAGCAUGCUCGGUUUACCCGUUGCGUGUGCUGCUCCUGCCUUUCCUUCACAAAAUCUAGUGAAUUGUGCUAUCUAAUUUCACCAUGCAAUCUGUUGCUCUAGUGUAUAUGUUCUAUAUGUCGUGCAGUUUGGUGCUCACUUAUUAACUGUUUUGUUAAUUAGUUGUUGUCUUCAGUUAACUGUUUGGUUCAAUUCUGCAAAUGUGAUGUUCAAUUCUGCAAAUGUGAUGUUCAAUUCUUCAGGCUACAAUUUUGUAUUGUCUUCCAUGUGAGAAAUAAAUCGAAUUUAUCUUUACAAAAUUGUUGGUGCAUUUUGUUAUUGUAUACCAUGUGAGGAAUAAAUUGAAUUUGGCUGUAGUAAAUACAUGAGAAACAAAUACAAUUGCUACAAUUGGCUGUAGUUAACUAUUUUGUUAACUCUCUGAUCUUCUAUUAGGAGUAUGUUAUAUUGUCCAAUGUGGUGCUCAGUUAAUGUUUGGUUCAUUUGUUGUGGUGUUUAGUUAACUGCUUGGUUCAAUGUUAUAUUGUGCAAUGUGGUGCUCAGUUAAUGUUUGGUUCAUUUGUUGUGGUGUUUAGUUAACUGCUUGGUUCAAUUCUGCAAUGCGAUGUCCAACUGUCGUGGAUAGAAUUUUGUAUUGUUGUGCAUGUGAGGAAUAAAUCGAAUUUGGCUGCACUUAAUACAUGAGAAACAUAUACAAGUGCUAUAUUUCUUAGUUCUUAAUCAUGCUUGGUUUGGGUAAAUGGGUUUUCCAUGUGGCUUGAAUUAAUCUGAUGAAUCUGCAAUGUGCUUAUUUUUCAUCAACAUAUUUUACUGAUAGCAUGCGAACCCUUACUUAACCUGAUGACUAACUACCUUAUAUGUGUUGCAGGGAAACAAUGGGAAGCACUGAGGUUUACAAUCAAGGUUAGCACGUGCAUGGUCCGUUGUCUAAUAGCACAUUAUUGUGCAAUUGCAGGAACCAUUUUAAUAUUUUGGUAUUUAACAAUUUGGUCUUACACAUGUAGGUCCUGCUGUCAGAGGUUUUGACCCACUGUUCGACCCUUUUUGCAUAUGGGGAAAUGAGUUGUCCAUGAAUAUCAAUCAAAUCAAGAAACUCAGAAAGAUUGUUAGGAUAAAGAAAUUAGCAAAAAAAAACGACAAGAUGUUUGUCUGCACAAUGAAGAAGACAUCAGUUCACUACACGAUGGUACUAACUAUUAUACCUUGCCUUUUUUUUAUUCCUUCGCCCCAUUUCCAAUAUAGAGAAGAUAUUUAUGCACAUCCUUCUUUUCAGGCCUUUCCAAAGCAGUUCACUAAUGGUUACCUCUCAAACCACCUCUAUGGUCAAGAGGCAAGGAAGGUUUUCAUACAACACCCAUGGUUCAAUAUUGAAGUGUUCCUGAAGAGGUCGAAGGAUGGACGGUCAAUCAUCCACAGGCACUGGCCUAAAGUUGCAAAGACCUUCAACAUGAAUGAAGGCUCAAUAUUCGCCUUCCGCUUCAGCAGUUUUACAGAUGAGAUGCAUCUGUCUAUAUACCGUCUAUGAUGCUAAUUUCGAAAGGUUCUACAUGUUGCAUGUGGAACUUGCUGCUGGUGCAGUUGUGUAAUGGGGUAGCUGAGUGCUGAAGCUAUAUCAUGUUGUACUCUGAUGUAUUUCAAUUAUGAAAUUCUGUUUCCUUAAUAUGGAAAUGAAAUAUAUUGCGUGCUUAAUAUGAAUGUCAAUUAGAUUAAUAAAUGGAUUAUUCAUAAUAAGGCAAUUAGCCUGCUAAUCGUGAAUUAGCCUACUAAUUGGGUUUUGAUAUUGCAAACGGUUGUUGAACAAAUACCGUGGGCGAUGACCUCUGGCAACGCACACAGUUUCUAGGAAUAAACUGUGUUGGAUCAAUGAACAAUCACACACGACUUUCUCUUGAAAACUGUUUGCGUUAGGCCACCUUGCGCAAACGUUUACCACAUAAAAACUGUGUGUCAUGGACAGCCUUUGCCACAUAGUUUCUUCUAUAGACCGUGUGUGCUACAUUCAAUAACGCAAACGAUUUAACGGGAAAAAUUGUGUGUGAUGUACCUGUGAACGGAAACAUUUUCCUUGGAGCGACUGUGUGGGAUGUGCAUACGAACGGAAACGUUUAGCAGGGACUGACUGUGUGGGAUGUACUUGCGACGGGAAACAAUUUCGCCAUAUAAUUGUAUUUUUAUCUGUUACGUAUUUCCGUAUUUGAGCGCUUGCCGGUCGCACACGACCUCAUUUUGCCGAAUGAUACGUCCAUUUUGCAUCAUGCUUUUAUAUCGAUGUUUAUUGCAUUAUGGGAUGUUAUUACACAUUAUGUCACAAUACUUAUGCCUAUUCUCUCUUAUUUUACAAGGUUUACAUGAAGAGGGAGAAUGCCGGCAGCUGGAAAUUUUGGGCUGGAAAAGGAGCAAAUAUUAGAGACCUAUUCUGCAAAACUCCAAAAGUCCUGAAACUUCACGGAGGCACGUUUUGGAAUAUAUAAAAAAUACUGGCGGAAGAAUCAACCAGAGGGGGCCACACCCUGGCCACGAGGGUGGGGGCGCGCCCUACCCCCCUGGGCGCGCCCCCUGUCUCGUGGGCCCGCUGGCAGGCCUCCGGUGCCCAUCUUUGGCUAUAUGGUGUCUUUCACCCUGAAAAAAAUAAGAAGGAAGCUUUCGGGACGAAGCACCGCCGUCUCGAGGCAGAACCUGGGCAGAACCAAUCUAGGGCUCCGGCGGAGCUAUUCUGCUGGGGAAACAUCCCUUCGGGAGGGGGAAAUCAUCACCAUCGUCAUCACCAUCGAUCCUCUCAUCGGGAGGGGGUCAAUCUCCAUCAACAUCUUCACCAGCACCAUCUCCUCUAAAACCCUAGUUCAUCUCUUGUAUCCAAUCUUUGUCUCAAAACCUCAUAUUGGUACCUGUGGGUUGCUAGUAGUGUUGAUUACUCCUUGUAGUUGAUGCUAGUUGGUUUAUUCGGUGGAAGAUCAUAUGUUUAGAUCCUUUAUGCAUAUUAAUACCCCUGUGAUUAUGAACAUGAAUAUGAUUUGUGAGUAGUUAUGUUUGUUCCUGAGGACAUGGGAGAAGUCUUGCUAUAAGUAGUCAUGUGAAUUUGGUAUUCGUUCAAUAUUUUGAUGAGAUGUAUGUUGUCUUUCCUCUAGUGGUGUUAUGUGAACGUCGACUACAUGACACUUCACCAUUGUUUGGGCCUAGAGGAAGGCAUUGGGAAGUAAUAAGUAGAUUUGGCAGCGAAGAACAAGGUCUCCUUCCUCAAAGCUUGUUGGAAUUCUUUGGCCAAUUGAACGCGCUGAAGAACAAGGUCUCCUUCCUCAAAGCUUCGGGCAUGAACCUUGCGGCUAUGGUAGCGGCGCAAGGCCUGCUGGUAGCGCGCUGCUCUUACAGCCGCCCGAAGAUGAUCCUCCUCAAGGAGCAUUGCGUCAUCUUGCCGCAACUACUCUUGCUCAAGCUCAUCAUAAGCGAGCACUCGAGGCGACCCGUAUGUGUGUUCCGUGGGGAGAACUGCUUCUGCCCCGUAUACCAGGGCAAAGGGUGUCUGGCCGGUGGCUCAAUUUGGUGUCGUUCUGAUCGACCAAAGAACCGCCGGCAACUCAUCAAUCUAGCGCCUUCCGCUCUUGUGCAGCCUGUCAAAAGUCUUUGUUCUUAGGCCUCCCAGUACUUCAGCAUUUGCCCUCUCCGCCUGGCCGUUGGGGGUGUGCCACGGAAGCGAAACAGACCUUGCUGCCGAGGUCUUGGAUGUACUGCAUGAAGGUCUGGCUUGUGAGCUGCGUGGCAUUGUCGGUGAUGACUCUGUUUGGCACACCCCCAACGGCAGACUAGUCCCUUGAAGAACUUGACGGCUGGCUGUGCUGUCACCUUCUUCACUGCUUCCACCUCCGGCCACUUUGUGAACUUGUCGAUUGCGAUGUACAAGUACUCAAAGCCCACGACAGCACGGGGGAAGGGGCCCAGUAUGUCGAGCCCCCAGACCAAAAAUGGCCAGGAGAGAGGGAUUGUUUGAAGGGCUUGAGCUGGUUGAUGGAGCUUCUUCGAAUGGAACUGACACGCUUCACACUUGGUUACUAGUGCCGUUGCAUCCUGGAGGGCAGUUGGCCAGAAGAAACCUUGCCGGAACGCCUUGCCGGCAAGGGCCCUCGACCCUAUGUGGGAGCCACAUAUGCCUCCGUGUAUCUCCGCCAACAGCUCCAGUCCUUCCUCCCGGGGAAUGCACUUCAAUUUCACACCGUUCGGUCUUUUCCGGUACAGGACGUUGUUGACGAACAAAUACAUGGCAGACCAACGGGCUACUUUCUCCGCUUCUUCCUGCUCCUCAGGAAGCUCCCCUGUUUGGAGGAAUCGGACGGUAUGCUGCGCCCAUGCCGGAGCCUGGGGCUCGACGGCAAGGACCAAAGACAUUUCUUCUGCCAUGGGAGCGGCCGUUUCUACGGCCGGGGCUUGACGCCCUGCCGGAGUCAGUUGCUUCUUGGCAGGCUCAGUAUCCAUGGCAACAUCCUUGUCGGCGGCCCCAGGGGGCUCGGCGAGGAAGUACUUGCCGGGGCCUGAUUUCUGUUCUGUUGAUGGUUCAACGGACGGUUGAGUUAACCGAAGCACAAAUGUACCUGGUUCCACAGGUAGCUUGAACGCAGCGCGCUUCGACAGGUAAUCGGCGAUGUCGUUCUCCGCUCGGGGAACGUGCUCCGCUUGUAUACCAUCAAAGCGCUCCUCCAGCUUCCUCACCUCAUCUACGUAGGCCUCCAUCAACGGGCUCUGGUAAUCUUUGUUGACUUACCCGACGACAAGCUGUGAAUCACCCCUGACGAUGAGAUUCUUGACCCCAAGGUCUGCCCCGAUCCUGAGUCCGGCAAGCAACCCUUCGUACUCAGCAGUGUUGUUUGUGGACAUCUCCCUGGGAAAGUGCAUAUGGAUCACAUACUUGAGGUGCUCUCUGGUGGGUGCGACGAGCAGCACACCAGCACCAGCGCCUUGCAGCGAGAAGGCCCCGUCAAAGUACAUGAUCCAAUUGCGACUUGCUUCCUCGCCAGGGAGAGUGGUCUCCUGGAUUUCUUCGUCGGGCGUUGAGGUCCAUUCCGCAAUGAACUCCGCCAAGACUCUGCUCUGGAUUGUCGAAGUACUUUCAAACUUCAAACCAAAGCUCGACAACUCCAAGGCCCACUCCACAAUCCUUCCGGUUGCGUCUGGGUUGCGCAGUAUCCGUUGCAACGGGAGGCGGGUGACGGCAGUGAUUUCGUGUGCUUGGAAGUAGUAACGCAGCUUCCUCGAGGCUGUAAGGAGGCCGAAGAGCAAUUUCUGCACCCCAGAUUACCUUGACCUAGCCCCCUGCAGGAGGGAGCUGACAAAGUAAACCGGGUGCUACAUCAUCUUCUUCUUCUGCACCACUUCAUUUGGUUGCACGGGCUCCGUCCUGAUGGUGCGAGACUCUGCCGGGGGCCUUGCCUUGCCGGAAUCGGGCCCUGCCGGGGGAAUCUCUGGCUUGCCAUUCGUCGGUUCCGCCGUCGCCACUGCCUCUUCGUCGACCUCCCUCUGUGCCACUAGUGCGGCUCUGACAACUUGAUUCGUCACCGCCAGAUACAGCAGCAAUGGCUCUUGUGGUUUAGGCGCGACCAGUAUCGGUGUAUAGGAGAGGUAUUUCUUCAGAUCCUGCAGCACUGCCUCGGCUUUUGGGGUCCACUCUAUUGGGCCCGCCUUUUUCAAGAUUUUGAAAAAGGGAAGGGCACGCUCAGCUGACUUGGAGCUGAAUCUGCUCAUAGCGGCAACACAGCCGGUGAGCCAACGCACAUCCUUGAUCCGCUUGGGCGCCUCAAUCUGCUCAAUGGCCUUGAUUUUGUCUGGAUUUGCCUCGAUCCCACACUGUGACACAAAGAAUCCGAGAAGUUUGCCGGACGGAACGCCGAAGACACACUUCUCAGGGUUCAGCUUGAGGUUGAUCUUGCGCAGAUUUGCAAAUGUCUCUUCUAAAUCUUGUACAAGAGUUGCCCUGUCCUUGGUUUUGACCACUAUGUCAUCCAUAUAACCUUCCAUAUUUCUAUGUAGCUGGGGCUCAAAACCAAUUUGGACCGCCCUUGCAAAUGUCGAGCCAGCACUCUUCAACCCGAAAGGCAUCCGUAAAAAUCAAUACGUACCACAUGGGGUGAUGGAUGCUGUCUUCUCUUCGUCUUCUUGUGUCAUGAAAAUCUGGUGGUAUCCUGAGUAGGCGUCAAGGAAUGACAACAGAUCACACCCGACCGUGGAGUCAACAAUUUGGUCGAUGCGCGGCAACGGGAAGGGAUCCUUAGGACAAGCCUUAUUGAUGUCUGUGUAGUCAAUACACAGCCUCCACUUCCCAUUUGCCUUGCGCACUACCACCGGAUUGGCCAACCACAUCGGAUGGAGCACUCCUCUCACCAAGCCUGCCGCUUCUAACUUCCUGAUCUCCUCUGUGAUGAACUCCUGCCGUUCCAAAGCCUGCUUCCUGACCUUCUUCUUGACGGGUUGCGCAUGAGGACAGACAUCAAGAUAGUGCUCAAUCAACUCCCUGGGAACGCAAGGAUGUCGGAUGCUUGCCAUGCAAACAUGUCGACAUUCGCCCGCAGGAAGGUCAUGAGCGCGCCUUCCUAUUUGCUAUCGAGGGUGGAGCUUACGGUGAAAGCCCCUCCCAUGCCAUCCUCCUUGAUGGACACCUUCUUGGUCUCUGGUGGUGCAGCCCUGGAUUUCUUGCUCUUGCCGGUGGAGCUCUCAGGCACGUCCUCGACGGGAUCACAACACUCCGAAGAGGUGCGCUUGCCUGAGUGGGUGCGAGAGGUCUUGCCGGUCUCCUUCCCUCCCAGGGCUUCAGCGGUAGGAUCAAGUCCUUGGCGGCAGUCGCUGCAACUGCUUCCCGGUAGAGUUGGUCAGCGCAGAUCAGCGCGUCCUUCUUGUCGGAGGGGACGGUGAUGAUGGUCAAUGGCCCAGGCAUCUUCGGCGUGUUGUAGGCGUAAUGCGACGCCGCCAUGAACUUGGCUACUGCCGGGCAGCCGAGGAUCCCGUUGUAUGGCAAGGGGAUCUCGGCGACAUCGAAGACAAUCCUCUCUGUCCUGUAAUUCAGCUCGCCUCCAAACGUCACAGGUAGGGUGACCUUACCCUUCGGCUGACUCCUUCCUGGGUUGACCCCUUGAAACGUGCCCGUCUCCUCGAGGUCUUCAUUAGGAAUCUGCAGCCACUUGAUCACAACGGGCGAGAUCAGGUUCAGACCGGCCCCGCAUCAACUAGCAUCUUUGUCACCUUGAGGUUGCGUAUUGUUGGCGAAACCAACAACGGCAAACACCCGACCGCGAUCGUGCGAUCAGGGUGGUCCUCAGUGUCAAAGAUGAUAGGCGUGCUGGACCACUUCAGUGGCUUCUGAGCGUCGAACGAUGUCUCUGCUGCGGUAAUCUCAUGCGCCCACUGCUUGAACCGGCGGGGAGAGGUAUGCAGCGAGGCGCCGCCGUCGACGCACAUGGCCUCCGUAGCUUUCUGGAACUCAUGUUCGCCGGACUUGUCGUCCUCGUCAUGAUCAUCAUCUUUCUGCUUCUUGUCACGGCCCCGAGCGGGCCUCUCUUGCUGGUUAUCCUUGCCGUGGUGGCCUCCUUGGCCGCCACGCUUCUUGCCGGAUCCUUCGGCACCAUCCUGACCCUUUUCCUUGUCCUGCCUCUCAUACUCGGCUUUUUGCUUUUCAGCAAGUAGCUCGACUUGCCGAUAGUUCUGGAGGUCGUGGCCCUUGGUGCGGUGGAUCUUGCAAUACUGCUUGUCGGGGCCCCUGGCUUGUCGGCAGCUGCCAAGGCCCGGCAAGCAGCGCACCCGGCAAUCUCCUUGCUGGGGUCGUCUGCCUUGGCCUUCUUGGCAGCACCGGUGUCGUCAGAUCCCUCAACGGCAAGCACAUCCUUGCCCUUGUGUUUCUUGUUGCGACGCCGGCCCUUCUUCGUCGGGGUGGCGGUGUCUUCGUCAGUAGAGUCGGUUUCCGCGCCGCCGUCCUCGCCGGGGUACUUCCUCCCCUCUUCAGCUCGAGCACACCUAUUAGCCAGAACGUAAAGUUCGGCCACAUCCCUGACCUUGUUCAUUGCCAGCUCUUCACGCAUCUUGCGGUUACGCACAUUCUAAUGGAAUGCACUGAUCACGACGGCGGGAUGAACAUCUGGGAUGUUAUAUUACACUCAGCUGAACCUCUGUAUGUACUUGCGUAGGUUUUCACCUUCCUUCUGGGGAAUGAUAUGCAAAUAACUCGCCUGGCCAUGACCUUGGUGGCCUCGAGUGAAGGCACCAACGAACUCAUGGCACAGAUCUGAUCAAGAAGAAAUGGAAUCCGCCAGCAAGUGCAUCAACCAAGACAUGACAUUGGGUUUCAGGGCCAACGGGAAGUAAUUGGCAAGCACCUUGUCAUCACGAGCUCCAGCGGCUUGCAUCGCGAUGGUGUAGAUGCUAAGGAACUCUGACAGAUGGGUCUUGCCGUUGUACUUCUCGCCGAUGUCGGGCUUGAACGUGCGGUGUGAUGGCCACUGGAACUGCCGCAGCUCAUGAGUAAAGUCUGGGCAACCCACCUCAUAAGGCCGGCCGCCGGAGCCUCCCGGUGCUGGGUGGUCCAUAGCGGGCCCCGCCCGCCUAUUCGACUGGUGGCGUGUAUCGCACCGGCGCUCGAUGGUGGUUCGAGCAUCUUCAUGGGCUCGCUCCCGAAGAACUUGGUGCUGGUCGCGGUGGGUCUGUGGGUCGGACAACGCUAUGGAGAUGUUAUCACAAGCGUCGUCACGACGGACUGACACCCGCGGUGGCUGGCGUGGAGGAGGAGAGUGCACCGUGGCCGCAGCACCCCCGACCCCUCCACCGCUGGCGUGCGGUGGUUCGAUGGAGCACCGGCCUGAGGGCCCUGCUGGCCGUGGCUCGUCUUUGUUGCAAUGCCAACGAGGCUCCGGAUGGUGGCCCUCCAUUCAUCAAGCUUCUCCGCAGCAGGAGGCAAGUCGAGGAGCAACUGCACGCGCGCCAAAGCUUCAGCUGGCGUGGGCGGUGGCGAAAGCUGUGUGGAUCGUGACGCGCUCCGACUUCUAACCAUGUUAGAAGGAGCUCCAUCACGGCCUUGCAGCUGCACACCAUUUUUGCCAGCAUUUCGGCGGGCAUGUUGGCCUCCUUCGUCCCGCGAGUGAUGCACGGGACUCUUCCCACGGCGGCGCCCGGGGUCUCCAGCGUGGUGACACUGCUCGUCGCGCGCACCCUGGGAGGAGCGUGUCGCGGGCGCGGGCGUAGGCGACUUGGAGGUCGCCGCGCCGCCCGGGGGUGGCACGACACCGCGCUUGGAGGGCCCCGCGCCGCCUGCAGGGGGCCCAGCUCCGUCGUUGGAUUUGGCGACGUGCGGCCCGUCGUCUCGCACACGAACGCCGCCGCUCGCCAGGCUCUGACUGCCAGAGCGGUGUUGGUGCUUGCAAGCCGCACCUCGGGUUCUGUCCGUCACCGGCCCGCUGCUCGCCCGCACCGGUUUGGGCCGUCCGGCUCCGGAUGAACCGAUCACCGUGAUCGUCUUGUUCUUGGGAGCCAUGGUGAUGAAGAACUGCUAGGCUAACUGCGAGACCGGAUUUUCACAACUGCGCCCCCUACCUGGGGCGCCAAAGAUGUCGGUGGAAAUGAAACCUAUGGGGUCACUGGGAUCCCUUCUACGGUCGGUGAGCACGAGGUUGUGCAAAGAGCGGGUCUGACAGGAAGCACACGGAUCGUUUACCCAGGUUCAGGCCGGGAAGAUGUGUAAUACCCUAGUCCUGCUUUGGUGGAUGUAUUUGAGUGUUCUUGAGCUAGCUACGGGGUGCAACUUGCCCAAAAGAGCCGAAUCCCCCUCCUGGUCACCUCGGGCCUCCCUUUAUAGGCAAAAGGGGUCGCCACAGUGGCACACAGGAGGUGGAAAGGUGUACAUUGGAUGAGUCUAUCCUAUGGCACGUCGGACAAACGCAUUUAAUGCACUGCCGACCUGCCCCUCUCACUUUAUCGGGGACGGCAAGGAAGCACGUCCCAGCUGUCGCCGCCUCGCGCCUACGACACGCGUCCGAGCUGACGGGGCGCUGUGGUGCCACGUUGGCUAGCUGUUGGGCUGGCGCGGUGGUGGAGCCUUCAGGAAGACUUGCAUGCUACCACGCAGGAGCUUGUCGGUGUAGAGGCCGCACGUCGCCACGCAGGCGCCUGCUCAGCUGGUUGAGCUGGCAGCUGCAUGGGGACGGCGGUGGAGUCUUGGCAGGUGCGGGCCCGGCUGCGGCCCUGCUGAUGCCCUCGGCAAGGGCCUUGCCGGGGGUCCGACAAGGGUCUUGCCGUGGCACCGCGGCCGCCCCGGCAAGGCGCUUGCCGGGCGCCUUGUGGAUUUCCUCGGCUAGGAUCCUACCGUGGGCCAUCGCCUUCUGGUUCUCAUCUGAUCUUGUGUAUUAAUGGUCUUCACAAAGAUCUGCAUGCCACUACGGAGGUGCCUUCCGAGACCUGGUCCCAAUGUAGUUGUUGGCGGUGUUGGAACCCUUGGGCUCAAGGGUGGCUCGCUCCAUUGGCGUCAGGCAAGUUGCCCCGACAAGGCUCUUGCCGGGGCUGCGGAGGCUGCCCCGGCAAGAGUCUUGCCGGGGGAGUCCACCUCGCCCUUCUGCUCUUCGUGUCUCUGGUCUUGGCGUUGCCUUGGUUGUCUUGGGCUUUGGCUUCUCUCCGGCUUCCCUCCUCCGCCCUGCUAAGUGUGGCCGCGGCGCGCGGCUCGGACUGCCCGUGCACAAGUAAAGGGGUCAAAAGGAGAGCCCCUACUUUUGUACACCGACAACAUUAUAUAUGAAUGAAACAUAUUCAUUAACCUAACCAUGCCCUCAAUUUUCUUUAAUGUGUUGAUAUUAUAUUAAUUGAAUAUCUUUUUGUUUUAUGAGAUUUUUGCUAAAUUUAAUUAACUCCUAAUUAACAUCGAGUAGACCCUGUUAUUGUGAGAAUUCUUAAUUCAAGAGUUAUAGGGAGGGACUUAUGUAACCACAAACAGAAACUAAAGCAGGUGUUGGAUUUCAAGCUGGUGUUAAAGAUUAUAAAUUGACUUACUACACCCCAGAGUAUGAAACUAAGGAUACUGAUAUCUUGGCAGCACUCCGAGUAAGUCCUCAGCCUGGGUUUCCGCACGAAGAAGCAGGGGCUGCAGUAGCUGCCGAAUCUUCUACUGGUACAUGGACAACUGUUUGGACUGAUGGACUUACCAGUCUUGAUCGUUACAAAGGACGAUUCUAUCACCUCGAGCCUAUUGAUGGGGAAGACAACGAAUGGAUCUGUUAUGUAGCUUAUCCAUGAGACCUAUUUGAAGACGGUUCUGUUACUAACAUGUUUACUUCCAUUGUAGGUAACAUAUUUGGUUUCAAAUCCCUACGUGCUCUACGUUUGGAGGAUCUACGAAUUCCCCCUACUUAUUCAAAAACUUUCCAAGGCCCGCCUCAAGGUAUCCAAGUUGAAAGAGAUAAGUUGAACAAGUAUGGUCGUCCUUUAUUGGGAUGUACUAUUAAACCAAAAUUGGGAUUAUCCGCAAAAAAUUAUGGUAGAGCAUGUUAUGAGUGUCUAUGUGGUGGACCUGAUUUUACCAAAGUUGAUGAAAACGUAAACUCACAACCAUUUAUGCGCUGGAGAGACCGUUUUGUCUUUUGUGCCGAAGCUAUUUAUAAAUCACAGGCCGAAACCGGUGAAAUCAAGGGGCAUUACUUGAAUGCGACUGCGGGUACAUGUGAAGAAAUGAUUAAGAGAGUUGUAUUUGCAAGAGAAUUAGGGGUUCCUAUUGUAGUGCAUGACUACUUAACUGGGGGAUUCAUAGCAAAUACUACUUUGGCUCAUUAUUGUCGCGACAAUGGCCUACUUCUUCACAUUCACCGUGCAAUGCAUGCAGUUAUUGAUAGAUAGAAAAAUCAUGGUAUGCAUUUCCGUGUAUUAGCUAAAGCAUUGCGUAUGUCUGAGGGAGAUCAUAUCCACUCUGGUACAGUAGUAGGUAAGUUAGAAGGGGAAGGCGAAAUGACUUUAGGUUUUCUUGAUUUAUUGCGCGAUGAUUUUAUUGAAAAAGAUCGUGCUCGCGGUAUCUUUUUCACUCAGGACUGGGUAUCCAUGCCAGGUGUUAUAUGGGUAGCUUCAGGUGGUAUUCAUGUUUGGCAUAUGCCAGCUCUGACCGAAAUCUUUGGGGAGGAUUCUGUAUUACAAUUUUGUGGAGGAACUUUAGGACAUCCUUGGGGAAAUGCACCUGGUGUAGCAGCUAAUCGAGUGGCUUUAGAAUCCUGUGUACAAGCUCGUAACGAAGGGCGUGAUCUUGCUCGCGAAGGUAAUGAAAUUAUCGGAGCAGCUUGUAAAUGGAGUCCUGAACUAGCCACGGCUUGUGAAGUAUGGAAGGCGAUCAAAUUCGAGUUCGAGCCGGUAGAUACCAUCGAUUAAUUAGAUAAAACUAAAGAUAAAGAAGGUAUAAAUAAAAAAAGAAACAAAAUAAAAAGAGAAAAAAAUCAGUUAUGAAAUGCAGUAAUUCUUCUUUAUUCUUCUAAUUGAUUGCAAUUAAACUCGGCUCAAUCUUUUUUUCUAAAAAAUAUUGAGCGGGAUAAAAAUAGAUCAUGAUAUGAUCAUGAGACUUGACAAAUCGAGAUUCGUCUAUUCUAUAUAUCUAGAACAUAUAUAUUAAGGUAUAAUACAAUAAAUAAAUACAAAUAAAAUAAUAAAAUAAUAGUAUUAUCAUAUGAUAAUGAUAAUGGAAUCAAAUACGAAAUAUUCACAGAAAAAAGUCUUCAUUUAUUGGGAAAGAAUCAAUAUACUUUUAAUGUCAAAUCGGGAUUCACUAAGAAAGAAAUAAAGCAUUGGGUCAAACUCUUCUUUGGUGUUAAGAUGGUAGCUGUGAAUAGCCAUCGACUACGUGGAAAAGGUAGAAGAAUAGGACCUAUUCUGGGCCAUACAAUGUAUUACAGACGUAUGAUCAUUACCCUUCAACCGGGUUAUUCUAUUCCACUUCUAGAUAGAGAAAUAAACAAAAGUAGAAUGAAUGAAAAAAGACACAGUUUGGAAGUUAGACCUUUUUAUAGGACUCUCUUUCAAUUUCAAAAAAGAGGAAACAAGUGACUCGAACUGUGUGUAAAUAAAGAAGCAUUUUUUCAAAAUGCUAGAACUAGAUAAGGAAGUUCUCUAUAACCAUGAGAAAAAGGUAGUUUUUUUAGUUUAUGACUCCGAUCAAGAGCGAGAAAUCCUUGAUUUGGGAUUGGACAUAGAACCUGGACCCAUCGUAGAGACGUUUAGUUCAAAAGAAAGGAUCGUAUCCUGAUGGUAAGAAUUAUACUUUCAUGGAAAUACAACGCUAUAGACUUCAAUGCGGUAGAGUAGACGUUUUGUUCCUAAUUUUUCUGGACCAAACCUCCGCUCCGACCCAACG